GUAUCCUUCAUUCAAGUUGGUUAAUGGACUUGUUAUCAGGGAAUUACUGGUCAGCACAACAAAAUAAGUCUGUAAAGUCAAGCACGAAUAGAAAAGGUCAAUCUUUUCAAUAACAAUGUAAAGCACAAGAAUUUAUGUUAUAGUGUAAAAUUGUUGUCCUAAAACAGUAUGCAAGUCAUUAUCAAAUUAUUAUACUGUACUGAAAGAUGAGCACAACUAAACUAUGUACUUCCUCCGUUUCACAAUGUAAUUCAUUCUAGCAUUUCCCACAUUCAUAUUAGAGAGAUGCUUGAAUGAACAUCAAUAUGAAUGUGAGAAAUGCUUGAAUGAUUUACAUUGUUGGGAAUCUCUUAUGAUGACCUUCGAUUAUGCUCUAGGGUGUGUUUUGUUGGGAAUGGAAGGGGACGAAUUAUGCUCUUGUCCAUUCUAUGCUGAAAGUCCUGAGUUUCCCACUUGAGUAUACUCCUAUGGUCCUCCACUUGAGUAUACUCCUAUGGUCCUAUAUGCUGCUGAUCUGUUCGCGUGGGUAUCAUGCACGGUGGAGUAGUUUAUUUCUCUAGCUUAAUUGUUAAGUGCUCUUUAGUCAAAGCUUCCUUGGUCGCCAAGGCUACGAAUUAACGUUAUUGCCGUACUACUUAAUUACUAAAAGAUGAUCGAGGGAAACAGCGUCGAUCUGCAAUGAUUAACUCUCAAGAGUCAAGAGUCAAGUCAACUAAUCAUCUCUAUUCGUACCUCUAUGUCGGUUUGGCUACUGUGGGCUAAGCCCAUGAUGCUUGGCCUAACCCCAGCAUCUGUAUUUGGAAUUCUUUUUUGGGAGUACCUAUACAUCUUUCGAAAGAUUUCUAUGGUCGUAUCACACAGAUUUUUAAUCUUUGGAUUAAAAUCCGAUAGAUAUAAUAAAAAGCAAAAAGCAAUUAAGAAACACCAUAAUGGACACUAAAUUACCAUAUCCUCAAGAAAAAGACCAAAUCCAAUACAAAAUUUAAAAUUUACAUGCGUAGAUUCAAAAAUUACAGUGCAACUUACAAAAGUUACAGUGUAAGUUUUAUAAAUUACACUGUAACUUAUAAGAAAAUGCACUGUAAAUUUGAGUGAGAAAAUCGAGUGAGAGAUAAGAAAAAAAAUCUUUCGAGUGAGAUAUAGCAAAAUUGUUCUUUUUUUUACUAACCAUAAGAAAAGAUCAUACGAUAUUCAGUGAUUUGGCAUAUGAAGAAAUCAACAAAAAUAACUACAAAUGGUAGCGUGAAAAGUGUACUACCUGCUAAUGCUAUGGUUCAAAGACGAGGUUAGAUGCAUAUGGCCAUCCAAAUACUUGAAAAUAAAACCGACGGCCAUCACCCAUCUAAACCUAUCCCACUCAACCAAACUCAUUAAUCAUUAUGGAGGUAUACUAAGCAUCGUAUGGAGUAAUCAACCCGAUCUUUUCAUUAUCACCUCUGUCUUAAAAAGACCCUUUUUCUUUUCAUAUUUCAGCCAAAUCAAUACAAACCUAAACAAAUCAUAAUACCCUCCAUAACUCCACGUAAUAACUAAUAUAAUGUUUGAUAAAUAAGAUAUGGAUUUUCAUCCCUCGAGGGGAUGUCCCUCCUUGACAACAUAGAUUAAUAUAAAAUAUUUCACUCGAACAAUAUGUAAGACCAAAUUCAACUUCUACAAGUUGCAACAAAAAGAACAAACUAAACUGAAAAUAGUUAUCGUACAUUCAUAGCUAUAUUUGUUAUAACUUGUAGAAAUUGAAUUUUAACUUGUAUUUUUGUGGAUUGAUAUAUUUCGUACUAAUCUAUCUUACUAUUUUUUUUAAAAAAAAAGUUUAUAUAUGCACGAAACAAGAGGAUAUCCCCUCAAGGGAUGAAAUCACUUUCCCUGAUAAACAUGCUAAUGAAAUUCAAGGUAAAUUCUGUAUCUUAAUCAAGUAAGAACGGGGCUAGGUCGGUUCCGUAGCAAGUGUCCCGAGCUCCUUAUAUAUACAUAGCCUCGACAUGGCCAUGGCAAUUCGAGUUCCAUUCGAACACGAAGCCAUCUAUCUAGCUUGCAAACACACAUGGGGGCGCCUCUGAAGCUGACCUGGGCCUCGCUCGGCUCGCUGUUCGCCACCGCCGUUCUGGUGCGCACGGCGGCGCGCGACUUCCUCCCGCCGGAGGCGCACGGCCUGCUCCGCGCGCUGCUGUCGCGCGCCGCCGCCGCCCUCGUGACGCCGUGCGACGCCAUCAUCGUCCACGAGACCGACGCCAACGGCGUGCCCAACGAGCUGUACGAGGCGGCGCAGCUCUACCUCGGCGCGCGCUGCCUCGCCACGGCGCCCGCGAUGCACCUCCACAAGGCGCACGGCGCGGCGGCCGCCGUGGCGUCGCUGCCGGGCUCCCACGCCACGCGCGACGCCUUCCGCGGCGUCCGCGUGCUGUGGACGUCGCAGCUCGACGGGAACGCGAGCUCGUCGUUCGGGGGAAGCUUCUCCUCCUCCUCCUCCCGCCGGUGGGCGCCGCCCCCGAUCGACGGCUGGCAACGGUGCCUGCGGCUCGAGUUCCGGCGACGCGACCGCGACGUCGUGCGCGACGCGUACAUCCCCUUCGUUCUCGAGGAGGCGGCGGCGCUGCGGGCAAAGUUGCGGGAGAGGAAGCUCUACACCAACAACGGCGGUGGUGGCGGCUGUUACUACGGCGACGGCGGCGCCAUGGACGAUCACCAGAUGCUCUGGAAGGCGCACAAGUUCUCGCACCCGUCCACGUUCGACUCGCUCGCCAUCGACCCGGCGCUGCGCGACGACAUCCGAGCGGACCUGCUCCGGUUCGUGCGCAGCCGCGAGCACUACGCGCGCGCCGGCCGCGCGUGGAAGCGCGGGUACCUGCUCCAUGGCCCGCCCGGCACCGGCAAGACCAGCCUCGUCGCCGCCAUCGCCAACCUCCUCGAGUUCGACAUCUACGACCUGGAGCUCACCACAGUGACCUCCAACUACGACCUCCGGAGGCUGCUGGCCUCGACGCGGCCCAAGUCGGUCAUCGUCGUCGAGGACGUCGACUGCUCCCUCGGACUGUUCGACCGGACGCGCGCGCCGGCGCCGCCGUCGUCCCAAGACGACGCCGACGCCGACGCCGACGAGCAGCGCAACCGUGCGAUGCUGCAACACGCGCUAACCCUUCUGCCGCCGGCGGUCGAGGCGGCCAUGCGGCGGGAGACGAUCAGCCUCUCCGGCGUGCUCAACUUCGUCGACGGCCUCUGGUCGUCGUGCGUCGGCGAGAGGCUGGUGGUGUUCACCACCAACCACACGGACAGGCUCGACCCGGCGCUGCUCCGGCCCGGCCGCAUGGACCGCAAGGUCGAGCUCGGCUACUGCAAGGCCCCGGCGCUGCGUGUGCUGGCCAAGAACUACCUCGGCGACGACGACGACGCCGACGACCACGACGAGAUCAUGGGUGAGGCGGGGAGGCUGCUCGAUGAGGUGCAGGUGACGCCGGCGGACGUCGCCGAGGUGUUCAUGGGAUGCGACGGCGACGACGGAGCCCACGUCGCGCUGCAGAAGCUCGUGGACGAGCUCAACGCUAGGAAAGGAAAAAUGAAUGGGCCUAAAUGACUUUAUGGGCUUCAUAAGCUUUAAGCCCAACUCGUUCUGUUUCAGUAUGCAUUUUCCUAUUGUUUUCGUAUUAUUGAAUACUACUUAAAAGUCAACGGCGUCAUACAUUAAAAUAUGAAGGUACUAUUUAGCAAGAAAUCCAAAAGUUGAGUUUGGCACGCUUCGGUCAAGUCUUUUACUGGUCGGAUGGGUGGAUUAAUCUUUUUCCAAAUUUUCUACCAGUUGAUGAUGACAUGACAUCAAAGAUUGCUACAAGUUCUUUGCCAUUGGCUAAAGCAGAAAAGAUGCAUGUGGUGGUUCUUCGUAUAUGCACCCUGAGUAAUAAUAUGCAAUUCAUGUAGGAUCCACCAAUACAUGUUUAACUUUUUUUAAAAAAAAUAUCUCUCAGGUCAUAAAUAUUUUACUUUAACACAAAAUAUUAUCAAUUUUUUGAAAUUUUGACCAUCAAUAGUUUAUUAAGUUCUUAGUUGUUAAACAAAUGGCAUAUAUGUAGGUAGGUUUUCACUUUUCAGUACUAUCGUAAUAUCGUGAAGUCAUUCAAUUUUAUAAUUUCUUUUUUACAAUGCAAAGUUGAUGAUCAAUGCUAUAAAAGUUUGACAAAUGAUCCCAUUGUUUUGCUUAUGCUUAUAAACCAAAAUUUAAAUUUUUUAAACUUGAUUUUAAGUUAUUUUUGUGUUCUUUUUAUCAUGGUUUAUUUUAUGGCACUCGUCUUUUACCGCUAAGAAUAACGUUUUACCCAUAAAUAAUGUUUUUACUAAUAAGUAAUAUGAAUAAGUAUAAGGAUAACUAGACCACAAGUCUUGUUCUAAAUGUUAAUUAUUUAUUUAUACCCGAGAAAGAGAGUGUGUGUAUUAUGGUCAGGACGGCAUCUCACUGACCUUAAAAUAGGUUAAAUAUCAUAUUUUCUUUACCGUGGGGAGUAUUGUUGAUGAGGACUAAGGUUCUGAAUCUUCCGUUAGGUACUAGAUAGGUUAAUUGUGGAGACUUGAUGUUGAUGAUUCAAAAGCUCCGAUCAGAAUGACCGAACCCCGUGCAAUCACUACACCACCCCUCUGUUAGUUAUCACCCGAGCCGAAACAUGGUUGAUCUCGCCAAAAAGACUAUAUUCCGUAAGCGAAUCGAGAACACAAGUAAGAGAGUAGAAGAUGCAAUUUGAAUAUAUUGCGAAUUUAAGAUGGAGCUCAUAAGUUGGUGUUCCACAGACCAAACUAGCAGCAAAACUGCAAAAUCCAACCCUAAUUUGAUGACGGUAACUGAUUAAAUAGAUUCUAGGGUCGACCUAGGGUUGUUAUAGCUAGGGCGCACACCCCCUUGGGCUUAGCCCACGAGUCACGACACAAUUACAAAGCCCAAAGUUCAAAUCGGACUUGGACUGGAUGAGGUACAUGGCUUGUUUUGUAGAUUACCAAUAGAUUAGAAGGAAUUUUGAUGUGUGAUCAGAACUAUAUGAAAGUAGAUUCCAUAAGCUUUCCAAUAAAUAAUCAUGGGCUCCGAGAUUCCUUCUAGAUCAUUGGCUAGGUCCGUUUGAAAUUAAUGCUAUUAGGAGACUUGAAUCCGAAUCCAAAAUGUGCAUAAUUUCCUCUCUUCUAUAGACUAAAAGUGAUAUGGUGAUGUAUGAGCAGUCUUUAGGAAAAUCUUAGUUUGGUCCCCGACCAAUUUAUUUGAUCAUCCAAGCACUUCGUGAGCCCGCUCUCAUUUCCUUCACCCAUGCUAAUAUUUCUUCAAACGAGAAGAUAUAAAACUUAUGGUGCAGUAAUAUUUGUUCAAACGUAUAAUAAGUAAACCUAUAUAGAAUCUAUGCAUCUUUAGCUUGUUGAAGUGUAACAUAAACAUGGUUAUAUCUGAGCCAGUGUUGUUCUUGUCAAUUGUUUUCGCAUUGUUCCGAAAACGACAGCUUUGUCCUUGUAAACAAGAAGUAAGGUUAAAGUUAUGUACACGUAGAAAGAUAGAUCAUAUCACCAAAUGCCGAGCCAGUUUCAAGAAUUCGAGUCACCUAUGACCUAUGGAAGUCGUAAAGUGUAUUAGUGGCCUGACUCAUCUCGAAAUAUUGGAUAAGGUAAGCCUGUGCUCUGAUUUUUCGGCUCCUCUAGCUUAGUUUAACCCUACCGUUAGUCAAAAGCUCCAUACAUGACUUGUUAACCUACUCUUAUUUUGCCCAUUGCUGUUACUUCUUUUAUGUCGAGAAUGCUAAUCCGCAACCAGUUGUGCGCGUCUUCCCCGGAUGAUUGGACACGUGUCGCGUGCGAAGAGGGAAGCGGCGGACGGCACGCAGAGUAGAAUUAAAAACUCUACCUAAUUCUAUUGUAGUUUUACAAAAAUACCUUUUGAACUUUUAAUAUGAAAAACAAUCAAAUAUAAAUGAAUAGCCACAUAUAAAAUCAAAUUGAGAUGCGCGCAAGUAAUUGCAGAAAUUUAACCUUGUGCUAAUGACUACUGUGAAUUUGCGUUAUCAACAGCAGCCAGCCAGUACGGACGGCCAAUGUUCGUUGCCAUCAAACGUCCACGUCGACGUAUAUCCGGAGAUCAAAACAAAAGCAGAGGAGACGACAUGGUGCAACUUCUCAUAAAACGCAAAGAAAAUUGCUGAAAAAUUCAGAAAGCCACACACCAUUGCAAAAUGCAGCAAAUCCUCAAAUCCUCCAUCCAUGGCGCAACCAUGACACGAUCACAACCGACCUAAUUAAUACCUAACUCGAAACCAAAUCACCAUGAAAAUUAUUAAUUAUAUAUUGAUCAUGAUGCUGUUCAAGUUCAAGCAAUCCGCAAUGGCGGCUCGUCUGCUUUUUACUCUGUCGUCAUGGCCGCCUCCUCUGUGACAGGCACCGCCGGCGCGUCCCUCCUCCGCCGCAGCUCGUCGGCGAGCUUCCUCAGCGCGGCGGUGGCGCCCGCGCCGUCGCAGCCCAUGAACACCUCGGCGAUGUCGGCGGGCGUGAUGAGCACCCCGGCUGCGAGGAGGCCCUCGGCGUCGGCCAUGAGGCCGCUCACCGUGUCCGGAUCGUCGGCGGCGUCCUCGCAUCCUUCGUCGCCGACGCCGACGCCGAGGUAGUUCUUGGCGAGCACGCGGAGCGCGGGCGGCGAGCAGUAGCCGAGCUCGAUCUUGCGGUCCAUGCGGCCGGGGCGGAGCAGCGCCGGGUCGAGCCGCUCCGGGUGGUUGGUGGUGAACACCAUGAGGCGCUCGCCGACGCAGGAUGACCAGAGGCCGUCGACGAAGUUGAGCACGCCGGAGAGGCUGAUGGAUUCCCGCCCCAUCGCCGCCAUGGCCGCCGCAGCGGCCGGGGAGAUGAUCGAGAGCUGCGCCGCGUUCUCGUCGUCGCUCGCCUUGUUCUUGCGGUCGGAGAGGUCGAGGGAGCAGUCGAUGUCCUCGACGACGACGACCGACUUGGGCGUGGUGGAGACGAGCAGGCGGCGGAGGUGGGAGUUGGUGGGCACGGUGGUGAGCUCCAGGUCGUAGACGUCGAACUCGAGGAGGUUGGCGAUGGCGGCGACGAGGCUGGUCUUGCCGGUGCCGGGCGGGCCGUGGAGCAGGUACCCGCGCUUCCACGCGCGGCCGACGCGCGCGUAGUGCUCGCGCCGCGCCGCGAAGCGCAGCAGGUCGGCGCGGAUGUCGUCGCGCAGCGCCGGGUCGACGGCGAGCGUGUCGAACGUGGAAGGGUGGGAGAAGGCGUGCGACGUCCAGAGGCGGUGGUGGUCGUCGCCGGGGGCGGCGGCGCGGUUGGUGUAGAGCCGCCGCUCCCUCGACCUGAGCCGCAUCUUGGUGGCCUCGUCGAUGACGUGCUGGAUGUAGUGGCCGUGGAUGAGCUCCCGAUGCUGGCGCGGGAACUGCAGCUCGAGUCUGCGCGGCUCGCCGCCGCCGCCACCUCGGCCAUAAGGGUUGUAAGGGUUGAACACUCCGCCGCCGCCGCCGCCGGCGGAGGCGCCGCGCUCGACGGGGCGAGCGGUCCACUUGACGAGGACGCCGCGGAAGACGUCGUGGGUGGUGUGGGCGUCGGGGAGGGAGGCGACGGGGCGGGGAGCUUGGUGGGGCUUGUGGAGGCGGACGGUGGGGGCGGUGGCGAGGCAGCGGGCGCCGAGGUAGAGCUGGGAGGCGUCGUAGAGGUCGUUGGCGCCGCCGCUGGCGCCGUCGGCCUCGUCGAUGAGGAUGGUGCCGACGUGGGGACGGAAGGCGGCGGCGAGGCGGGUGAGGAGGCGGCGGAGGAAGAUCUCGGCCUCGGGCGGGAGGAAGUCGCGCAUGGCGGUCCGGAACACCAUGAUGGUGGCGAGGAGCGAGCCCACCGAGCGCCAGUCCAGCACCAUCUCCAUGGCGGCGACGAGACGACGACGACGACGACCUCUCGCUCGCUACUCGAGUGUGGAAGUGGAGGUGGAGUGGAGGUGGAGGUUCAGGUGGUGGGGGUUUUAUGCGUGCGCGCGGCGCGGCGGGGUGUAGUCGAUCGGAGCGAUCGAUCGAGUCAAGUGAACAUGAUUAGUACACAACAUGCUAGAUUGAGCUCCUGUACCUUUAAAUACACGGUGUUUUUAUCAUUAACAUGUGAGUCCAGACAUCGUCGGAUCCACGUGUCAGUGAUAAAAGUCACGUGACUUCGACGGUAGAGGAUCUUGAUCCCAACAUGCUACCCCAUACUUCCGCAUUCCGAAUGAAAAAUAAAUCAAUAUAAGAUGUAACUUAUUUUAUAUGAAUUUAGAUAUAACUUUGUUAAAAUUCAUAUGUUACAUCGUGUACAAUGUUUGCUUUUCAUGCGCUGGAGAGAGUACCGUGGAUGAGGCAGUUGAUGCUGACGGAAUGCGUCCAAUAAUGGAGCUCACCUUGUGACUUUGCGAGUAAUGUGUAUGGAUAUCUCCAAAAUUCACUGAAGAGAAAUAGAGGAUGCUAUUGCUCCUGUCCUAAGGACCAGUUCGGAUAAAUGGAUGUCGGAUAUAUAUUAUCUAAUUUUGUGAUAAUACUCGAGAGUUAACAAUAAAUUAAUUAUUGUAAAUUGGAAAAAGUACAAAUUACCCCCUGAACUAUCGCGGUCGAUCGAAUUACCCCCCUGAAUCUGAAACCAGACAUUGUUCACCCUGAACUUUUAAUAUCGGACGAAUUAUCCCCCCUUAGACCCAAUCCAGAGCGAUUUUUUCCUACAUAGCGUACGCGUGUCAAUCCAGUCAACAUUUUCUUUUAAAAAAUUGGUGGGACCCACCUGUCAUUUCUCCCCUUCACCUCUCUCUGCGCAGAGGGGCGGGCGGCGGACGACGGCAACGUAAGACGAGGAGGGCCAUGGAUGAGGAUGGACGCCGCCACCAUCGCCAGACCACGUUGUUGCAUGUUGCUGCCGCGCUUCUUGACGCCGCUGCCAUGGAUGAGGUUGCCGCGGCGGUGCAUGGGGCGGUGCUCAAGUGGGCGCAGGUGCAGCAGGAGCGACGGUGGCGCGAGGAUCCGCCGCCCCUGAUCCUCGGGAGCGACGUCGGCGCGUGGAUCUAGAGGCCUUCAUCAUCUGGAGCGCCUGGGGGAGCGGGAGGCGUCUUUCUCCUCCGCCACCGUCAAGUCCAUCAUCGACUAGUCGCUCUCCACCCCCUCGUUGUCCCCCUCCACCAUCGCCGCCGCGGCCUCCACCCCGACAGCACGCACAGCGCGGCGUGGGGAUGGGAGGUGGGCGGUGGCGCGCGGGGGCGGAAGGACGGAGGGCGGCGGUGGGUAACAAGCCGACGGCGGCUUGGUUGCGCGCGGGCGGGCGGCGGCACGAGCCGGCUAGCGCCAUCACUCGCCCGAGAGCGUCGUCGUCUUCGAGCUUCUGCCACGUGGCGCUGUUGUCGUGUGGUCUGAGCCUCCAAGGGCCUCGUGCCACCGCGUGUAGAGGCCAUCACCUCCUCCUCCUCCUCCUCCUCGAGCCACCAUGUUGCCGUGUGACAUUCCCUUGUUGUGCUCAGCCCCUGUGUCGCCGCGGGCCGCCACCGCCACCGCCACCGCCACCGCGGGCCCCUCCUCCUUCUCGUCGCCACUGCAAUCGGCACUGCCUCCACCUGUCUGCCCCCGCCCGUCCCCUCACGCCGCCGGCCACCUCCCGUCCCUGCGCCGCCAUGCCUAUUUUGUGCCCGAGAGAGAGAGGAAAUGGGGUAUGACAUGUGGGUCCCACUAUUUUUAAAAAAGAAAAUCCUGACUACAUUGCCACGGGUAUGCCACAUAGGACAAAACCGCUCUGGAUUGGAUCGAGGGGGUAAUAUGUCCGGCAUUAAAAGUUCAGAGUGAGCAAUGUCUGGUUUUCUAGUUUAGGGGGGUAAUUCGGUCGACUGCGAUAGUUCGAGGGUAAUUCGUACUUUUUCCUUGUAAAUUUAAAAUUUAUUGCGGAAAAUGCUUAGAAACUUAUAGGACAUUUAAAAAAUUCACACUAUUUAAAAGCUCGGAAAACGCGCCACCCAUGGUCUUCAUUCAUUGGAUGCAUUGCUCUUUAUUUGGUGUUUGCAGCUAGUGCAACUUAACCCGAGUCGAAGAGGGUGUUUGGAGGGACUACAACCUAAAAUCCAAGUUAGUGAGGAGUUCAGAGAGAGAAAAUAAUUUCUUUUUAACUCUAGCAUAUUUCCGUAACUGUUACAUAAAAGACAGACGCAUAUGGACCAUACUCACACAGCCACAAGCGGAUCUCACACCAAGCACACCUAGUAGCGGAGCCAAUAAGAUCUUUGAGGCUGAACAAAAUUUAAUAUAACUAAUAUUUACUAUAAAAAUUUCAUCAUCAAUUUACUUAUCUUAACUAAUUAAAAGAUUAGUAUUUUUCCAAUCGUCACCAAAAUUAGUAUUAGUAUUUUUCGUCCGUAUGUGCAAUUUUUUCCACUUGUCCGUGUACGAUCUCCUCCCAAAAUUUUGGUUCGUCAGUACAUGCGAGAUCGAGAGACCGCAUCGUACAUGCGAGAUCGAGAGACCGCAUCGCUCCUGUCUCGUACGUUCGUAGAAGCCCAGAACUAAUGCACGGAAACGAAAGAAACUGAAUCAGAAAUCCAACAACAAUAAAGCAAAACCAUCCCAAAAAUUAAAUCACCGGGGCCAAAAAAAAAAGGAAAAAAUUGCAAAAAAAAAUCAAGUAUUGGCCGGCUUGGCGAGGCAAUGGGGAGGAGGAGACGCAGCCCAGUGCGCACGGUCCACCCCCUCACCACGCACCUCCAAAUCCAUGGACCCGUGUGAGCGUGGGGGCGAAGAGACGACGGAUCCAUGCGGGAAGGGAAGAGGUCGCUGGAUCCACCCCUCCCAUCGCCGCCGAUGGCGGAUCCGCACGAGAGGAGGGCGGAGAGAUGACGGGAUCCGUGCGGGAGGGGAAGAGGUCGCCGGAUCCGCCCCUCCUGUCGCCGCCGAUGGCUGAUCCGCGCGAGAGGGAGACGAAGAGACGACGGGAUCCAGGCGUCGGUGGUGGAUCCGCACGAGCAGCAUCAAUGGCUUGGAACCGUUGCAUGAGGAGGCCUUGUCGUCACCCCCAGUCAGCCACUGCGCUUCUUCAUCUUCUCGCUGUCGCGCUUCUCCAUCUUUUGCCGCAUCAAGGAGAGGAGGCGCCGCUGGCCGCUGCUGCAGCCGGUAGGCGGAAGAAGGCGCCGCUACUACAGGGAGGAGGCGCAAGGGCUGAGUAUGGGAGGAUGUGAGGGCGCACGCUGGUGGAGGCGCUGGAUGCCUGGAUGACGACGUGCGAUGUGAAUGGGGAACGACCGAACGAGUGAGGAGGGAGAGAGACAAAGAGACUGGGAUUGAGAAGAGCCUAGAGCUCUUUGAGCAGAAGACCUCUUGGAGCUGGCAACCUCCUCGGUAAUGAGGUACGAGCUUCAGUUUUUUCAUUAAAAAAAACUAUGACCGGUCAAAGUUCCUUUCUUUAUUGUGAUAUUGAUUUUCGCUGAAAAAAAGUUUUUUUAGAUACACGUAAGAGUACUUCACAACUAAUGAUGAUUUUUCUUUAUUACUUAUAUUGUUGACAUCAAAAUCACUUAAAGUUUCAGUAAAUACAAAAUAUUUGUUUGAGACAAAAAAAUAUCGAUUGAAAAAAAGUAAAAAGUUUCCACGAGAUAAGCCAAAUUAGAGUAUUCGCGCUAUCAUCCACAUGUCACAUGACCUGUCUCCACGCGAGUCCACGUAUAAUUUUGAGUUGACAGAUCGAGAAAGCAUGCAUGACUACUAGAGACUAUGAGUAAAUAUGCAAAACUAUUUUCAAUCUGCGACACUGCUACAUGAUAUAUUUUCUUGGACGCCACCCACUUUUGUUUCCAUGCGGUCCGUAAGUAGAACCGCAUGGAAAAAGAGGGGGACAGGUGCCGGGCUGUCGCCCGCACGGGAAAAUACAUUAUCCCGCGUGGGCGACUUAAGCCAACCGCACACGAAUUUUCAAUAGCACGGGCCCACCGCUUUUAACCGCGCCCGCACACAUCUCCUCCUCCGCCCGCUCCUCUCCUCCCACCUCCCUCUUUCCCACUCCACUCAUCUCCUCCUCUCCUCCCACUCUCCUCUUUUCCCCUCUCUCCCGGCCGGCCGGCGGUGCGACAGCAUGCGGCGGCGCGCGGCCCCUCCCUCCCCCUCCCUCAACUGCGGGUGGGAAGAAGGGCUGCGAGAGCAGGUGGCAGCGGGCGACCAUGGCGGCCCCUCCCCUCUCUCCCCUUGCGGAUCCUGCGGAGGGGCGGCGGAUCCGGCGGCGCGCACCCCCUCCCCUCCUUCCCCUUGCAGAUCCGGCGGAGGGGGGCGGCGGAUCCGGCGGCGCGCAACCCCUCCCCUCCCUCCCCUUGCAGAUCUGGCGGAGGGGAGGCAUGGGGGCCCAGUGGAGCGGCGGCAUGCGUCAGCGGCCGGUGUGGAGGUGAGGCAACGGCGUCGGCGACCGGCGGAUCUAUCUCUCCCCCUCCUCUCUUUGUUAUUUGUGAUUCUUUGUUAUUUGUGAGAUGCGUUCUUGGAGUUCAUUUGCUGCUGUGAGAUGUGUUCUUGUGAUGUGAGAGUUCAUUUGUUGAUGUGAGAUGUGUUCUUGUGAUGUGAAAUCAUUGUGUGUCGAUGUGCGACUACAGAUCUGGUGCCAGUGACCAGAAGGGAGGUUGUCCUCUGCAUCGGCUACGAUGAUGAUGACCUCGCCCUCGUCGACAUCACCUACCCCAAGCGUGACGUGGACAACAUGCAGUGGUUCCGGGAAAUCACACUGCUAUACCGUGGCCACCGCCACUCCGCACCCUUCGUCCUCGGCCUCAUCGUGCUCUGUGGCCAUGCGCCGCGCAACAACUGGUGCCCAUAGGGGCGAGAAGGGCGUGCGCGGCCAUCCUCGGGACCUCGGCACCCUGAUCCGCUACGUCGCGAUCUACAUCAGCGGCUCCCAUGCCUUGUGUACCAGCCCGACUGCAACCAGUCCGAGUAUACCGUCAGCGUGCUUCCUUUCCAUGAGGACGGCGGAAGGAUGGCGCGGCUCCUCACAUUCCUGCGCAACAGGCGCGUCACGGUGGCCUGCGUCGGUGCGCACGAGGUGAUGGAGAAGCUCACAGAGGAGUGGGAAUUGGACGUGGCAUGGCCGGCGGAGUUGACGGAUCUGUUUUCGUUCACGUGUUCGGCAAGGUGUCCGGGGUAGGCGGCAAGGUGGCCGGGGUGGACGCGGUGAGGCUGCCCAAGGAGCUGGAACCGGAUAAGGAGGAGAUAAAGGAGAGCAAACAUGGGGGUCUAGGGGAAUUUUUGACAAUUUCUCUUUUCUCAAUAGCCGGAAAUUAUUAUUUUAAUGAGCAUGGUGUCACUAGCAUAAGGGUGGAAACAAGCCGAACCAAGCCUAGCUCGUCUCGGCUUGCAGUGGCUCGCAACAAACUAGGCUUGGCUUAGCUCGGCUCAGUCAGGGAAACAAGCUAAAACUUGAGCUCGACUCGGCUCGUUUUCUGGCUCGAGCCAGCUCGAGCUGUCUUGCAAGCCUUCCUGUUGAAACACCUCUUCAUAUAUAUUUUGUAAUUAUUAAAAAAUCAAAAAUAAAUCAUUAACAUGUAAAAUUUAAAUAAGUUUAUAUAUUCAAUUCUUCAAAAUCUUAAUGAUAAAUUUCAAUUUGACAAAUAAUAACGCCACAAAAAGUAAAAUAAUCGAUAUAAAUACAUGAUGGCCUAGGCUCGCAAGUCAAAGCAAGCGGCUCGCGAGCUAGCUCGGCUUGGCUCAUUUCAGCAAUGAGCUGCAAAGGAGGCUUGGGCUUGGCUUAUUUGGCUUACGAGCUGAGCCAAGCCAACCAAGCUCGACCAAGCCCGAGUUGAGCUCACGAGCCCGAGCUUUUUUUCCACCCCUGCACUAGCAAAUAUCCAACUUUUACAUCCCAAAAAGUUAAUCUGUGUAGUGUCCCACAGCUAAUUAAAGCCGUGAAGUCACGAUGUCCUGUAGCAAAAUUUGCCUAUUUGGUUUUGUUACACAGAGGAUGAGUUAAUUUCUCCAUAUCUUCACAAUUUUCAGCUCAUGUUUUAUGAAGGGAGCAAUAUUUUUCAACUCCACACAUUUUCUUCACAUAUCAACGCACGGGUAUAUUCCUAUAGUUCUCUCAUUUUUUUAAGGCUUAUCUGCUUAGAAAUAUAUAUCCCGCAAAUAUAAAGAAGAUUAAUUGUCAAGAACAACACGACUCGACUUUGAUCAAACUUCAACCACCCACUAUCAUCUGUUAUCCGUGCAACGCACGGGCGUUGCACGGGCAUUAUGCUAGUUAAUAUUAAAAUUUAAUGGAGUUUUCGCCGGCGAGCCCGGACUAACCGGGCGGUGGCUCUGCUACUUGGCACACUCACAAACCCAUGAUGAGUGAGUUCCCUAACACACACUCAAAGAAGAGACUGAUAGCAAAUCUCUGGUUCCACUCACGACUCCACCAUCACCACCGGUGCUUUCUUCUUAUGUUGCGAAGCAAUAUCCUUUUCUUUUUUCCUUUACAGUUGAAUGCAAGUCCUUUACGGUCACUCGCAUAUGCACGUCAUGCAUGACCCGAGGCUGCACAAGAGAAUGUUUGUAUGAUUUCCAAUUUUCCACAAUGGCAAACCGAUCCUGCUAAAGCUGAAAGAGAUAAGUGGAGAGGCAGAGGGCGGCUUGUAUUUUGAUCUCGCUGAAGCUGAAGCCUGAAGGGAUCAAACGACGGAAUCUCGAUGACUUGACCUACUCCAUCCGUCCCAAAAAAAGACAAACCCUAGUUUCCGUGAACAGCGUUUGACCGUCCGUCUUAUUUAAAAAUUAUGAAAAAAAUUAAAAAGACAAGUCACGCAUAAAAUAUUAAUCAUGUUUUAUCAUCUAGCAACAAUGAAAAUACGAAUUAUAAAAAAAUUUCAUAUAAGACGGACAGUCAAAAUUGGACACGGAAACCCAUGGUUUGCCUUUUUUUGGACAGAGGUAGUACUUCUCAAAAGCGAAAGCCACCUUUUUUGUGUGCAUUUCGUACUAGGAAAAAGUACGAAUUACCCCUCGAACUAUUGCGGUCGUCUGAAUUAUCCCCCUGAAAUACAAAACCGGACAUUCUUCACCCGUAACUAUGCAAACCGGAUGAAUUACCCCCUCGACCCAAUCCACGGUGGUUUUGGUCUACGUGGCAGUCCAGUCAGCGUUUUUUAAUUAAAAAAUUAUGGGACCCGCAUGUCAUACACUUCUUACUCUCUCUCUAUUCUCUCUCAAUCUUUUCUCUCUCGCACGGCGGGGACGAGCGCGGGGACGGGCGGUCGGCGUGUGCGGUCGGCGAGGCGAGGCGAGCGCGGCGGCACGGACGGUGCGGACGUCGGCGCGGAGGCGGAGGCGGCGCUGAUGGCGGAGGAGCGUGGCGGCGGAGCUGUGUGGCGGCGGAGGAGCGGAGGCGGCGGAGUCAGUUGUGGCAGAGGCAAAGGCAAGGUUUGUGGUGAGAGCGUGCAGCGGCGUGGUUAGCGCUUUGGCACAGCAGCAGGGAGGAAGGCACGCGCAAGUGCAUGCAUGAGCAAGAAGAGGAGAGAAGGAGGCGGCGGAGGAAACGGCGGCUGCGACCCGCCGGUGACCGAUGCGCUAUCCAUGGACAGCGGCCUCCGCGAGGUGUCCCUCUCCGUGGUCUUCUCCGUCUGGUGCCUCCUCCUCCUUCGCUCCCAGUGUCAUGGAUCGAUCAAUGUCAUGUCACCCUGGCGUUUGAUUGAUCUCUUCUUUGUAGAUUUCUACGACGAUGUCGAGGACGGAAUGCGUGAAAACUACUGCAAGGUAAUGCCGCUGGAGGCCUACAUUUUCCCGACUGAGUAUAACGCCUCCGCGGCCGCGCCGACGUGCCAGCCAUCGUUGCACCCGCCGGAGCCGUAGCAAGAAACCGACCACCGGAGCCUGGAGCCGUUCAACAACACAACCGGCAGCAAAUCGUCCACGGACGCGGCGCUCGAUGAGCUCGACGAGUUCCGGAGCCGGAUCCUGCAGGGCAAGGCCGCGAACGGCCGCAUCCCCGACGGCGCGGCGGCCCACCGGCUCGAGCCAAGCGGCGCGGAGUACAACUACGCGGCGGCGUCCAAGGGCGCGCCAAGGUGCUCGCCCACAAUCGCGAGGCCAAGGGCGCCGCCAACUUCCUCGGCGCCACGCUCCUCCGCCGCCUCUGCCGCCUCAUCUCCUCCGCUGCCACACAGCUCCGCCGCCACGCUCCUCCGCCACCUCCGCUCCUCCGCCGCCACACAGCUCCGCCGUCUGCGCCGACGUCCGCGCCGCCGCACUCGCCUCACCUCGCUGACCGCACACGCCGACCGCCCGUCCCUGCGUUCGUCCUCGCCGUGCGAGAGAGAAAAGAGUGAGAGAGAGAAUAGAGAGAGAGCAAGAAGUGUAUGACAUCCGGGUCCACAAUAUUUUAAUUAAAAAAAACGCUAACUAGACUGCCAUGUGUACGCCACGUAAACCAAAACCACCGUGGAUUGGGUCGAGGGGGGUAAUUCGUCUGGUUUGCAUAGUUAUAGGUGAAGAAUGUCCGGUUUUAUGGUUAGGGGGGUAAUUCAGACGACCGCGAUAGUUUGACGGGUAAUUCGUACUUUUUCCUUCGUACUGCUACGUGCAAACGACAAGCACAUUUGCGCAGAAACUCAAGGACACAACAGACACACGCGUUGCAUUCUGUUUCGCAGCUGCUUCCUUUCUCCAGCUUUUUUGUUUGCAGUCGAUCGGCUUGUUUCAGCCGUAGUAGUACAGUGUGAUUUGGUAUUAUCCUGCAGGAAUUUUUGGAGUUGGUGGUACCAACAAUAGAUUAUAGUAAUUUUACUGUCCUUAAGGAGGUACCAUGAUAUACCAUUUUUUCUACUGUACAUAAUAACCUAGAUAGGUAUUAUGAGAUACCAAAUUUUACACUAAAUUUUUGGUACUCAAGGUACUUUCCCAGGUACCGUAGAAUUGCUCAACAGAAAAAGGCUUUUUCGAGUGGAUAGGCAUAGGCAGGCUCUGAUCGUUUGGCUUCGGCUUAUCCACAUGGACGAAUAAAAGAAUUCUACAUAGUAAAACUUUUACAAUGUUAAAAUACAAAGGCUAUGUUUAGUUCACGCUAAAAUUGAAAGUUUGGUUGAAAUUGGAACGAUGUGACAGAAAAGUUGGAAGUUUAUGUGUGUAGAAAAGUUUUGAUGUAAUGAAAAAGUUGGAAGUUUGAAGAAAUAUUUUGAAACUAAACACGGCGAAAGUAUAUCUGUAUAAUUUGUGGUUUCAAAUACAAUGUUAAAAGCAAAAACGAUAAUAAAAAACUCUAAAAUUUAAUUUGAAGAUAAAACUGAUAAGCCAAUAAACAGAUGGUGAGAGUGCGACUCUCUGAAGCGUUUACAGGCUUUUGUGUGAAAGUUCCCGGAAAUCUCGUGUUGACAAAGAGUCAAGAGCCGUCCAAAAUUCUGGAUUUGCUUCCGCCAUGUCUACUUCUCAUCCUGCCAAUAAUCAGCCGAAAGUUUCUCGCCAAUUUCCUACGUAAUAUUUCCUAUUGGUCAUUAGGAAAACUAAUUUUUAUUUGACCCAUGCUUAGGACAAGAAGACUAGACCGGAUUGUACUAUUAAUUAGGCUGGUCCCUCAUGUUGAUCAGCUCGGUGAUUAUCCUGUUGUUAAGUUAGGCUUGUCCUGUAGCAACUGGACUUUGCAUCCCAAGUCAUGAUUCUACCACACAAUUUAGUAUCUGCUCAGAUGUUCAUCACGGCGUGCCUUUUCAAGCUCUAAUCAACAUGUACCGAUGUACGAGCUGCACGCGUGCUCAAUUUGUUCUUUACCUACUCCCUCGGGAUGUGUCAUGUCCAAUUUUAAAUUUAUUUUUUUUAAGGGGAGUACUCAAUAACAAAAUAUGUCAGAUUCACAUUUUUAUUGUUUUCAUUAAUAUUGCUAUUUCGGCAUUACUAGAUAGCGUAGGAUGUGUGUUUGUUGACGGUGUUACCAAAUUCGCUAAAUUAAGUUUUUAAGAGUGGUAAUUUAUAUAGAAUUACCAAAAUUUACAGCAACAAUACAUUUAGUUUAUUGUUUUAGGCCGUGUUUAGUUGCAAAAUUUUUCUUUAAACUUUUAACUUUUUUUAUCACAUUGCUACAAUUUCAAACAAGUUUCUAAUUUUAGCGUGAACUAAACACACCCUUAAUACUAAAUUAGUAGGGAUAAAAGUGAUUUCGAAAGGAACAAGCGAGUCUACAUCACUGUGGCUGAAAUGUGAGUAGGAAAACGAACGGUCGACGAGAAAAGCUAAGUCCUGUAGCUAAUUUGGCUGUGGUGAAAAGCACCAUCUGUCGCUCUCCCCUUUGCUGCUUUGCACGUACGUGAUGUUGUCAUACAUAUUGUCGUAUUACUAGUUGAUCGGGUUGAAGAUUCUCUCCUGCUGAUAUCUUGUUUACACUGGCUGUCUUGUACAAUAGGCUUGAUAAGGAGUCUAAGUUUUUAUUUUUCCUAUAACUUUAGUUAUCUUCAAAAGAAAAUUUCAUAUAAAAAUAUAGGAGGGUAGUUCAUUAUUACUCCCGGGUACAAUUGGUGCACGGAUUUGUAUUCCACCUAUUGUGGCGGAGGCAAGAAUUUUACCGAUCAGUUUCAUUUGAUACUUGAGUGAUGAUAACUUUAAACCCAUAUAAAUUAAAGUUGAUAUAAAUGGUUUGAAAAAGCUAUGGGGUCAGCUCAGGGGCGGAAUCAGGCAUGGGGCAGUUAGGGCUUGAGCCCCAUGCCUAGCUCCAUAAUUCCCAUUAUAAUCAUGAAAAAUGUUAUGUAACUUAUGAAAAUAUUUGAGAUCUCGUUAGCUCAGCCUUAGACGUGGAAAUUUUCUGGCUCCGCCACUGGGUCAGCUAACCCAUGCACUUCUAUAUGGAUCCAAUCACUGCUCGGAUAGUCUUGCUACGUGUCCUCCCUUCUGAAAUGCUUAUGACAGUUGUAAAAAAAAACUCUGAAAAGAAUUGAUGAUAGGAAAUGUUGUGGGAAGAUACUUGUAUUUUGUCUUUUGUUAUAGUUAUAGUUACAGAUAUACUAAAAAUCUGGGAAGAUACUUGUAUUUUGUCUUUUGUUUCAUAGUUUCCUCGGCAGCGGCAAGGAGCACUAUUUGUUUGUUCAUAUAUAUUGAAGAGAAAUGAAGAUAAAUGAGAUCCUAGCAUUUUACUCUGUUUCAAUCAUAACAAAGUUGGUUAACACUUAAACUUUGCUCUGUGUUUUGAACUUUUGAUCACUCAUGAGCAUGAGACCAGUUCUCUGCUAUUGUUUACGAUAAUAGAAGGUUCACUAAACAAUGAAAACAUCUGACCUCUGCACCAAGUAGUUCUCAUAGGAUUAUUUUCCCAAUUAAUAGGAUGUAAGGGCUUGUUUGGUUAUAUCCAAUUUUUUUUGGCAAUGGUAAGAUCUGGCAAUGCCAAAAUUUUGUCACCUAUUUGGUUGGAACCAAAAAACGGCACCGAUGUUAAAACUAGUCAAUCUUGCCAAAAAAAAAAUGGUAACAUUUCAAACAUCAACCUUACAAAUGACACAGGAUCAAACAUAUACUGCAUGAUAAUUUCAACAACCCCCCCCCCCCCCUCUCUCUUCUCUCCAAGAUAACUUGCAUGGCCUUAUACUCUCUCUCAAUAUCUGAGAUCAUAUAUAUUCCGUACUAUAACAUAUAUUGAUUGGUAUGAAGAAAACCAGAUUUGUUCAAAAAAAAAUCGUCACACGUCAAUCACUGAUGAGUAUGAGUAAAAGCUUAAAUCAGCUCAGGAUUCAGGAAUAUGAAAAUAAUAAGUGUGCAUGGUUAAUGUGUGCAGCCCAAUCAGUACCAGUAGGCAGUUGCAUGUCCAGUCCGGCCCACAAGAGGGUGCUGGUGAUCAGGCAGUUUGUUCUCAAGAGGCUUUCUUGUUGAGUUUCACAGCAACAAGUCCAUAAAAAAGCCUAGCUAGGUUGCAUGCUGCAACACCGCAUGCAAAACCUUACAUAAGGGCGUCAAAUCAAUUACUAAGAGUUAUAUAUAUAUUGGCACACCUAGCUAGUUGAUCAUCUACACGAAGUCGAUCGAUCAUCACACCUCCAUAUUCAUCAGGUGUUUGUUCAAACUCCGAGUACAAACUAAUAGUUAAAUUAAUUUAUAUUAUUAAGAGCUAUAGCUGGAGGAGCUCUUUCCCGUCUCGCCGCCGCCGCCGCCCAUCACGGUGACCUUCUCGCAGGACGGGCAGACGUUCACCAUCGCCGCCGCCGCCGCCCUCGGGAACUGGACGUAGAGCUGCGAGCCGGCCGCCGCCGCCGCCGGCGAAGCCAGCCGACGCAGCUCCAUGAGCUCAUGCUUGAGCUGCUUGUUCUCCUCGGUCAGGCUCUCGCAGCAUCGCUUCAAGAACUCGCAGUCCACCUCAGUCUGCUUCAGCUUCGUCCUGCGUUUUGAUUUAAUUUUUCACAGAUGUUAAUCAUAACACUAAUUGCAGAAUUUUGUAAUCUCCAAACUGAAUGUAAUUAAUUUAAUUCUACGAACCUGGCUCUUCUAUUUUGGAACCACACUUCGACCUGUCUCGGCUUCAGUUUCAGCUGACGAGCGAGCUCGUGCUUCUGAGCCUGUCAUAUAUGAAACAACCAUGAGAUACGUUCAUCAGGUAGCCCUAGAAGAAGCAGAAACUCAUACGGCUCGAUCUCUUGAUCUCAGUUGACCAAGAAAUCAUCAGUUAAUUUCUUACUAACUACAUGGAUCAUAUGCAUGAAUCGAUCGAACAGUUGUGUUAAAAUCCCAAAGAAUUAGUAACAGAUUACUCGAUAUGAUGUGCACGUAAACGUACAUGAGAAAGAAUGUUGUGGACGCGGAAGCUGUCCUCGAGCAAGGUCGACUGCUCCUUGGUGAGCUGGAGCUUCUUCCUCGUGCCGCCACCGCCGCCGCCGCCGCUGCCGCCAUCGCCGCCGUCGUCGCCGAGGCUCAGUACACGCGAGCGGCUACCGUCGCCGCCGCUGUUCCUGAUGGACCUCAUCACCCUUAGCCUUGCACCUCUCUCUCCCUUCAUGAUCUUGCUCCCUGAAGCUUGUUCUUCAUCACGGCCAUGAUCAUAUCCCCUCGUGAUCUCUUCCUUGACAUGCUGGGAGAACAACAUCUGCACCGGCGACGGAGACGACGGUGACCUCCGGCAAUCGUCGCCGCCGUAUGCGUAACCGCCGCCGCCGAUCCCGAGACCAAGCCAUGAACCUAGAUCCUCUCCUUCCAUGCUACUAGAGCUAUACAUGGACUAUAUCUUAUGUAGAAGCUUCUAUUCUAUGUAGAAGAAGAAGAAGAAGAAGAAGAAGAAGAAGCAGCUAUAAGUUUAAGGUGUUUGCUAUGGAGAAGAUGAAGUGUAUGUAGAAGAAGAAGAAGAAGCUAGAAGCUUACAAGGUGUGUUUGAUAGCUAUGGAGAAGAGAAGAAGGGGUCAAGAAGAGGAGUAGUGUGUUUAUGCUAGCUUUAUAGGUGACAACAACAACUCGAUCAACAAGGUCGGUUUCUUGUGUAAAUUGAAGAAGAAAAUUAUACCGCAUGCGGUUAAUUAUGGGGAUCAAUUAAGCUAGCAGGCGUUUGCUUGUGUACGGAGGUGAAUUACCGACAUAAUUUAAUGUGUCAUUUGACUGAAGAGGAAGGCGAUGAAAGGGAUCGGAAGGUAGCCAAUUAAGAGGACUAGCUACUAGCUAAUGGUAGGGCGGUUUCUUGGACACCAGCAUCAGAUGCUAUCUGUUACAGUAUCAGGAGUGUGUUGUGAAACCGACGACAUUUUAAUUGGCAAUUUGUGUUAAUAACGCCCGUGCUAAAUGCCUAAAUGUAGUACUAUAUGAUAGUAAAUUGCUCUGCUUUUUUUAGAGCGGUCAGAUACAAUGCACUUAGAUUGGUAUGAAUUAAUUUAAAAAUGACAAUUUCCAUUUCUUUAGUGAGGCACAAGAAUAUUUUUGUUCAUUUCUAGCUGCAAUGUAAUGUGAAGUGGGUGCCUAGUGGAUUUGUGCAAGUGCCGAGAACUCUUCUUUAGCUUUAUAUUAACAAGCCUAAUUAAGUUGCUACCAUGAGUUUUUUUGCACGAAGAACACAUUUUGUACUAAGUUGUAACAAAACAUUUCAUUGACGGUCUGCUGACUGGUGUUGUUCAUAUGAAGCAAGUGCACGGAGAACGACACAUUUGUAAUUUUUCUAGGAAGGAUCAGUCCACGUUUUACAAAACAGAGAAGCAUAUCCAUUAUCGUCUCCCUCCAGUCACAGUUUAGCCUAUUUAAUCUCCAUUCGCAACAGCCAAUUCCUUUUAUUUUUCUCGAGGCAGGAGAGAAUGAAAGACAAAUUAAAUCUAUGUUGUCCUCAAACUCUUCUCGCGAGUUUUCUUUUUUAAAAAAGAAGACAGAGAAGGAUGGCUUCAAAUAUAAAUAUACUCUAUUCGUCCUAAAAAAUUGUAAUGUUUAAAAAACAAGUUAAUAUAAAAUGAAAAUAAUCUAGAUAACUCUCAUUAAACGGGGGUGCUUCAGAAUGGAGAUAGUUGGGGUAAGGCACGGUUUAGUUCUAAAUUUUGAACCCAAAAACGUCACAUCGAACUUUUCUACACACAAACUUCCAACAUUUCCGUUACAUCGUUUUAAUUUCAAUUAAACUUCUAAUUUUAGCGUGGAACUAAACACACCCUAAGAUUGGAAGGAAUUUAAAUGAGUGGUGAUUGGAGUGAAAAAUAGUACUACUCCAAGUCUAAAUUGAUGUAGUUUAAGCGUAAAAAGUUGUCCCGUAAAGAUUGUAAUUUUAGAGUGGGUCCACUAUAAUUAUUUAAUAGUAGUAUCAUUUCAUCGAUCAUUUUCUCUUAGUUUUAAUUAGAACCAGAAGCAUUCCCACGUCCUUGCUCUUCCUGCAUUAAUGAAGAAGGUCACAGUAGUAUUUUAACCUCCUAUAUAUUUAAUCUAUCUUUAACUAGCUAAAAAUAUAAUCUUUUAGGAACGAUGGGAGUACUACUUUAGAAUCGUAUCCUUUUACAAACUUUAAGUGCUAUAGUUAUAUUCUUUUUGUACUUGGAUUUUUUUCCUUUCUACUGGCAUAAAUGUAUAGUAUUAUCUAUUACUCUCUCCAUCCAUAAAUAUAGCCAUUUAUAGGUUUAUUAUAGAUUAAGGUUGAGCACAGAAAACUUUGUUGGAAGGGGGGCAAAGUGAAAGAAAAAAAAUGUAUGGUUGUAGGUUCUUUUGAAGUAAAAGGCUCGAUUAUCCAUUAUGUAAAAAAAAUGAAUGAGAUAUGAUUAAUGAUACAAGUAGUACUUUAGAAUCGUAUAUUCGUAAAUAAAUUUUAAACGUUUGAAAUGCUUAUAUUUAUGGACAAAGUGGAGUAUAAUAUUACUAAUUGUGAAACUUAAUUAUGACAUUUUAAUAACGUGUGUUCUAAAUAUAGCACAUGAUGGUAAAAUAAUCCAGUGAUUUUAUUCUCGCUGGGUAAAAGAAAUGAGGCUAGCAUUGGCCGGGUGAGACUUACUUAGCUAGGUGUGAAUUUAAAAAGGACAUAUUGUCCAUUUUUUUAUGACGCACAAGAAUACUUGUUCUGCAAUAUGUGCAGAGUGGACUAGCGGACUUUUGCAAGUGCCAAUAUGGUUCAAUGGGAGUAUGAGCUUUAUCAGGCCUAAUUAAUUAGUGUUUGCACAUGAUUAAACACUAUCUGGCACAAUUGCAAUAACAAAAAUAAAUCGAGUGAAGCUCGUGUAACACACCAAUUUAGGGGUACGUGAGCGCAAACUACUCCUUCAAUUAAAUGAACUAAGUUUUACAUUAUUUAAGGUGUCAUGGAGUUUUUUUUUAAUUAUAUAAAACGAAUCCUGUAUAUAAGAGACAUUGCAAGAUUUUAUAUUGUCAUGGACCAAUCGACACCAAUCUCUACUCCAGUUGAAUCUGAAUCAAUCCUCAUGCUUAUUCCUGGCUAUAUAUUCAUGCACCCAAGAGACCGGAACAAUUCGCAAUGCCCACUGCCUAUUAAUGCUUAGAUCUCUCACAAGCAGCCGGUCCAUAGGGAAAAAUAACACCUCCAAAGUAACUGGAUUUUUCACAUUUUGAUUCUUUUAAAAAACUUAUUUCGCAAAUAGACCCCUAAAAAAACUUUUCCCAGAAAUGGUCCUUUUUGGCGCCAGAGUGGCUGGCGCCAUCGUCCAACGGGACGACGCCAGCUUCUCUGGCGCCAUCCUCCUGCCACCGUGGCACACGCGAACCGACGUGGCAGGAGGAGGGCGCCACAAUGGCUGGCACCGCCCUAGGGAUGAGGCAUGCUGGCGCCGCCCCUCUCCCCCCCCACCACCCCUCGCCUCUAUUCCUGUUUCUCUAUAUAGAGUUGCAACCUUUUUAUUUUUAUUUUAGUUUUUCGGAUGUUUUUUCGCACUUAGGAUCACGAUACAACCAGCCACAAAAAAAAAAUUUAAAACUCGAACGGAAUAUACCACUUAGCUAGAUAUGCGAAAAUAGCAUACCACUUAGCCUACUUUACACCUUCAUCAAAAUUAGACCAUAACUCCUUUAAUAAAACCAUUUGAUCAGCAUGUUAAACAUAAUGCACUCUACCACUAUAUGAAAUUACUUAAUCUCUAAUUCAAAUAUAACCACAUGAAAUGAUAGCCAUAAGUUAAAUAGUACAGAGAGAUGUAUUUUUUUUAUUUUUAUUUUAUUUUUUUGAUAUUUUUUUCACACUUAGGAGAAUACAGGAACCAACCAUAGAAAAAAUAAACUCAAAUGGACAAAAUAUGUGACUCGUAGAAUUUUCCAAAGCUCUACUGAAAAGUCAUUCGGGUAUCAUUUAUUAAAAUAGACGUAACUUUCUCAUACGGACUCAGAAUCAGGCAAAUAAUAUAUCCACAGACAUCUACAGAAAAAGUUACAUCCGAUUCUCCCCGCUUUGUCGGGUACGGCGAUUCUAAAACCUCCAAAUUCUGCUUGCAAGAUUGUGUUUUCGAGGAGAGAAGUUUUUCGGUAGAGCUUUGGAAAAUUCCACAUGCCACAUAUUUCGUCCGUUUGAGUUUAUUUUUUAUAUGAUUGGUUCUUGUGAGUUCCUAAGUGUGAAAAAAAUAUCAAAAAAAUAAAAUAAAAAUAAAAAAGUUGCACAUCUCUCUCCUCUGCACUAGUUUGGAGAGAGAGAGGAGAGGAGAGGAAAAAUUCUACAGGUCACAUAUUACAUCCAUUUGAAUUCAAUUUUUUUUAUGGUUAGUUCUUGUUUGUCCCUAAGCGUGAAAAAAAAAUCAAACAAAUAAAAGAAAAAAAUCGGGGGGGGGGGGGGGGCGCCAGCCACUCUGGCGCGCUCCCCCUAGCCACCUCAACAUCGCCCUGCCACGUCGGUAGGGGGUCGACGCCAGAGAGGCUGGCGCCGUCCAGUUGGACCAAAAUGUGAAAAAUCCAGUCCAAAGUAACACGCAUGAUAAGUUUCUGAAAGCGGCACAUCAUGACAGUUCCGUGUCCGAUGAUUUCUGGGAUUAUCCCCAAAAAAAAAAAAGCCUAAGGCCCAUGUAUAUAAAGAAAAGGAAAAAAAUCUUGGUAAGAGAUAAGAAAGUGAAAAACUCUCCUAUUAAUAUAUCAUGAUAUAUAUUUGAUCAAUUCUACACUUCUACUCCCUCCGUUUCAGAUUAUAAGUCGUUUUGACUUUGAUCAAAAUAAAACUGAUUAAAAUUUGAUCAAGUUUAUAGAAAAAUAGUAACAUAUUCAACACAAGACAAAUAUACUAUAAAAGUAAAUUCAAUUAGAAAUUUAAUGAAACUAAUUUAGCGUUAUAGAUAUUGAUAUAUUUAUCUAUAAUCUUAGUCAAACUUAAAGCAGUUUGAUUUUGACCCAAGUCAAAACGACUUGUAAUCUAAAAUGAAGAUAGUACUAUUAUAUAUAUUGUUUCAUAUAUUUGUGGUAUUUUAGAAAAAUAUUAAGUUCAAUCACCCAUACCUAAAAUUCUAGAUAAGUCACUAGGUGGUUUGCAGAAUUUUGCCAUGGUUCAUCUUAUUUGAGUCUAUCUUGUUCUUGAAAACCAUCUCAGGCUUUCAGCAGGUUCAGUGCAUCACCAAGAAAACUCAUGCAAGGUGGUCUGCAGAGUUAUUUUCCAUGGAUUAUUAUAUUUCAGUUUCCUGUUCUUGAAAAAUUGCCUCAUGUUUUCAGCAUUUUCAGCAGGUUCAGUGCAUCGAGAAAACUCUUGACGAAGAACGAAUUUAUCUUUAUCUCCGGCGGCAGAUGCCGCAUUUACUGAAGAAAAUGCAAUCAGCGAUGGGGACACGUGUGCCUCAUGUGCAAAUAAUGUGUAAGCUAACCAAAAAGAAAAACUUAAAAUGGACAGCAAAUUCUCUGAUAAUCUGGCCAGCUCGGAACAAAAUCUAGGAGAUGAUCUCAAAUUCUCAAUACCACUUACGCCGAAAAAAAAAAGUCUUUAUUUUGAACGCGUAAAAACUUUGCACGCGAAAACAAUAUAAUAUUCUCAAUACCAGUAUACCACAAUCUAGCUUCACAGCACACGACUAAUCAGUAUAUAACUUAAACUUGCUUUGAGCUUUUAAUCUGGAUGCCGUCGUUCUUACGGUGGAGAAUUUGGCUGAUAUCUCCCCAUCGUUUGUCAGGGGAUUAUGCAGUCAAAAGGACGGGUUUUGCGUAUUUAAAGCCGCUUGAUAGCCAAGCUUCAAUUCAGUAAAAUAGUCAAUCCACCCAUCCUGUCGUAAUAAUGCUGGUAAUUAGCUUGAACCGUUCAAUUACAUUGGUCUAGCAUUGAUUCAGUUCUCCAAUUGAUGAUGCUUGCGUUUCUAUCUUUUGCUAGCUUUGUGGCUGUUGAACCAUGAACAGUAUCUUUGUACAGGAGGAAGUAGUCUCUGCUGUAGUGAACUGGUUCUGUCAAAAUAUUCUCCUUUUUGCUCAGGUUUUUCAAAGUUCUGAAUUUUUUUGUCGGCAUUUCUAAGUUAAGUUCACAUGUUGUAAAUGAUAUGCUUCGGAGAUUUUAGGAAUCGGAGGGAAGAGAAUCGAAGUAACAAUGUACUGAACUAGCAUUAGUCCUGAUCACCAUGACAGGGCACUAUAAAAAGAUGGGUUAAUUAAUUAAUUAGUGGUGCAAAUUGAUGCAGCUGCCAUGCAUUGAAUUUUGCAUUUGUCUUCUCUUCUGAAUUCAACUGCUAUGGUGUUUUCAGGUCUUCUCUUCUGAAACAACAUUCGCCUGAGCUGCUUCCUUAGUCAUACAGUUAGUUGCAAUUCUCUGUCUGAACCUGACAUGCAUUUCUUCCACAGAUUAAAAUUAACAGGACGUGUCUAGUGCUUCCCGGAAGUUUCAGAUUUCGCAUCAAAUGUCGAUGCAUGGUGAAUUUGAAUUUGUUUCAUUCGAUGAUCGAGACGUAUCGCUGGAGAUGAAGACUGAUAAUAAUUAAUAAAUCUCCACGUGCCACUAAAAUCUCAACAAUCAUAGCUUUGCAUGACAAUGUCAUCAGUACACUAAGAGAACAGAUAGGAUCAGUGUUAGUCCGGCUGCUGCCGCGAGAGAGGAAAAGAAGAACAUGAUGAACUAAUCAGUGAUUCGAUCAGGCCGUAAUUAUGAACGCUGCCGGAGUCGUUUCUUUUUCUAGGGACAGUUCAGAGAAUGAGAGUGCUGAUCGAUCGAUUUGACAAUUUGACAAUCUGACAAUGACACCAGUGGAGAAUGAAUCGAAAAAAACUGAAAAGAUCGAUGAACAAACAGUGUAUCGACGAACAGGUCGCUUGAUCGCUGGGAAUGGACAGUUUCUUGCGCGAGGGGAUCGAUGCUUACGUGAGUGCUUCCGAAUGGUUGGUGCCCCGUCCUUGUCUCGGUGGCAAUGAUCUUGGACUGCCAUGAAAGAUUUCGCAGAAAGAUGAGGAAAAUCGGUAGGAGAACCCACACACACGAGCGUCUCUGAGAUUCUUGGUUUGACUGUCUAAAGCUCGUAGGAAGCUGAAGAAGCACACAGUUUCAAAGGUUACAGUACUUUUUAUCGUCUUGCCGGUCAUCUUAGUUGCCUGAUGUGACGAACAAUUCAACUGGAACAAUUGUAAACGUUGCAAGUACAAUUUGUGGAGUGGAGAUAUAUAUGCUCCUCAUCAUCUGAGAAAUCUGGAGCAGAAUCGAUCAAACUUGACAUCAGCCGUUCAGGUAUCGCCAAAGUAAGUACAGCAUCCGGUUCAGUUUCAGUGAUGUCAGUAGCCAAUUCUGCUUUCUGCACUGCAAAAGAGAAAAGUCCACUUUAUUUUUCUUUUUGAGCGGGAAAAAAUAUCUACUUUACGUCGUUUAAAUGGGGGUCCAGUUUCAAUUACAUAUCCCUCAACCGUAAAGCCGAAUAUAGUGUAUCCCUCAACUACCAAACCAAUCCAAAUCAAGUCCCCAAAUAGUACUAUGAGCGGUUUCGAUUCAUAUAACAUCUUAUUGACCUAGUCUUCAUCCCAUAUAAUAUCGUGAUGAUAUUAACAUGGCACUAAAAAAUAAAAAUAAAUAAACACCGAUGAACAAGAUAUUACAUGGGAUGAAGAUCCUGUAGUUCGGUUAACGUUUAAGUGGAACUACAAAAAGUUGCUGUGGUCUAGUAGUUGACCACAGACGGUCUUCCUGUAAGGCGUACUCCAGAACCGCUAAAAUGUUAACCGACGAGAUAGAGGAAUUGAAUACUCUGGAGCUCCUCUCCUUUCACAGCUGCCAAUAAAUGAGUUCUGCUCCUUCCAUAGUUGCCAAGAAACCAAGAGGACUAGGAAGUCGAAGCCCUUACGAAGAUGCUUCAGCAGGCAAUUCCUAGAAGUCGGCCACCAAACCUAAAGCGUGCAACCGCGGGAAGGAGCGAGGUCAGGCCAGCCAAGUGAAGACAGCACAUGGUGCCAAACCUGUCGAACGAACACACAGUCGAUGAGGAUGUGACUCGUUGUUUCAAGGAGCGAACACAACGCGGGAAGAAGGGAAUGUCAGUGACAUGGGGUUUCAUUUUUUUCCCCUAAUUGUAAGUACAAGAUAGGCGCCACGUAGGACACAACUGGAUCAACACGCCACAUCAGCCGUCAUCAAAAACUACCGAGGAACGUAGGUUCUAGAGGUUGAAUGUGCUUCAUAGUUGAGGGAUGUGACUGAAACUCGAUACUUAAGGACCUAAACUGAACUUUUCCACUGCAAAAUGCAAGCGAACUGGGCCGAGAGUGGCGAGGUUGGGCUGGGCCGGAGGCCUAUGUAGGAUGGCAUGUACAGUAAUAAACCCUACAUCUAGGGGCUUUUCCGGAAGGGUCGCUCUAUAAGUUUGCAACACCCCAGCUAGGGUUUCCAUCCACAUUCCACCUGCGGCCGCCGCUAUCAUCCACAUUCUCGACUCUCGUCAGCCUUCACGAACACCACAGAUCGAUCUGCGGCGUUCGUUUGGUUUGGUCUGCGAUGUGCUUCUUCGUGUUUGUUUUGCUGUUCUCUUUCGUUUUUUUAGCUGUUUGGUUUGGUUUGGUUUGGUGAUCUGAGGAUGGACGCCGGCGAUGAGGAAGAACAUGGUUCGCUCGUCUGAACGGUGGGUUAUUUACCCACCUUGCAGAUUUUAAAAGUAGUCUGAGCCGAUGCAAAUUUCCUCUGGAUUCAUCGUUUUCCUUGAUGAGUUACUGGCUUUACAGUUUUAGACCUUAAAAAUCCUUUGUUUUCACUUAUGUUUCUGUCCAGUGAAAUCUCUCCGUUGGGAUAUUCAGUUGCAGUGAUGAGUAUCUCUUUUUUCGAGAGCAGGUCUCGAUCUGCUUGAUGAGUCUGGGAAAUAAUCACCUUAUUUCCUCCUGAGCGGUUACCUGAGCAACUCUUAGCACCAUCCAAACUCUUUGGAGUUUCCCCAACACAUCUGACUUUUCUUGGAAUACAAUUUUUUUUUUUUGCUUUCUUAGCUUCUUGUUUGUCUCACUUUGCUGAUUUAAUAGAUUAACGUUUGCAUAUAAUCUCAAUUUUCAGGUUCAUUUUCAACUGCAAAUUCAGAAUGUACUUAAAAACAUCAUUACGCAAGAGACACAAACUCUCUAGAAUGGCACACAUAUCAUUACAUCAAGUUUAGUAGAAAGCUACAUCAUAUGAUUGAGGACCAACACUUAACCUGCGAUUGCAAGUUGCCCUCAAACAAGAUCAGGGCAACGCAAGCAACGAAGGAGAUGGCAAAAAACACAUCCCCCGACAAGUUACAAUGUUCAGCUACAGCAGCAUCCACAGAUGACACUUAUGACAGAUGCAUCAUCUGCUUGGCACAAGACAACCAUAAGGUCGAAGAAACUUGCAAGAGCAAUGAAGAACGGUGUGUAUGGAAGAGAGCUAUGAUUGAUAUGUUAGGAGGCUUGAUCAUUCGUCGGUCUCUCUGGCAGGUGAUUCUCCUGCUCCAAGAAACGGACGACGAGGCAGGUGAUGUUGUCUGCGCUUCCCCUCUGUGAGGCCUCCUGGAGGAGCUUCUUUGCAGCCUGCUCUGAAUCCAGAAUUGGCUUCACCAUGGCCACAGCUUCCUGGGAUCACACGAGAAUACAUGUUAUUGCUUCAUUUUUUUCACAAGAGAACACAUGUUAUUACUUGCAUUUCAUAUAGGAGAUUUUGAGAAAUUAAAAAUACAUUUCAGAUAGGAGAUUUGGAGAUUGAAAAAACAUGUCAUUAGUACUUUAUUACUGGCUUCAGACUUCAGAGUUCAGAAACAUGCAUUUCAGAGAGGAGAUUUGGAUAAAUUAAAAUGAUUCAGAGAUCAGAAACAUGCAUUUCAGAAAGAUAUUUGGAGAAAUUAAAAUGAUUCAGAGUUCAGAAACAUGCAUUUCAGAAAGAGAUUUGGAGAAAUUAAAAUGAUUCAGAGUUCAGAAACAUGCAUUUCAGAGAGGAGAUUUGGAGAAAUUAAAAUUAGUGUGUACCUCGUUGGUCACCACGUCCCAGAGGCCAUCACUAGCAAGGAUGAGGAACUCGAGAGAGCUGUCGACCACCUCCUCCUGUACAGAUCAAAUAAGCAGAUAAAUGUCGAAUUUCGAUUUGCAACAGUACAUAACGUAAUAUGGUCGUAUCCUGAAAUCGUUCAUGGCCUCUAUGCAUAUACUUUCUUUAUGAGCUGCAUGAAUUAUGAAUUUGAGAUUGGAAGAAACUUGAGGACCUUGAUCUCUGGAUCAGCAACCACAUAUUGCUUCAGGAGUUUGUCACCAAAUGCUCGAGAGACAGCAAGAACACCACCCACGCGCCAUGUUCCUACAAAAUUUCCGCCAACAGAAUUUUAGCAUUUUUAUAGAUUAAGGACUUGGUGUUCAAUGUCGAAAAAAAGGGUAAAUGUAGCAUCAGCACAAUGAAUAGAUCAAGAGUUGAAAUACCAGCCCACAUCACAAAACCACCAGCAUCCUCUAUCCUCUGCCUCUCGUCUGACUGAUCAGGCUUGUGGUCUCUUGACACAGCUAUAGCUGCAUCAUCAAGAUGAAAUAAUGCAUCACAAAACUGAGGUUUCAAUCAUUUUAGAAGCAAAUUGUAAUAGGUAAUAUAGAGUUGCUCGGUUGACACAACGAACAUUCAUGAUACAGACCAGGACAGGACAUUGGUUGAAAAACAUGUACAGGUGAAGCACUUACGCUAUCUGCCCAACAAUCAGUAAAGUAAACAUGAAUUGAAAUGUUCUUAAUCUUACCAUCUCCUCCUCUACAAAUGACAGCCCUAGAAUCUCCAACAUUUGCAACGAGCAGACGGUCGCCUACGAGAAUUGCAGUGGAGGCAGUCGACCCUGCAUCUCGAUUGUGGCUGGUUUCAGCUUUCAGAAGUUCAGAGUCCGUGCUAGUGUAAGUUUCAGCUGCAGGACAGAAUGUUCAGGGAAUUAAACAUCCAAAGUGCAAACAAAAUUUUUGGGUGAAGUAGUUUGCUUUAGAGAAAAUAGACACAGAUAAAUAGCACAAUACCAAUUGCAGACUUGGUAUCACUGAAUAACUUUGGGUGCUUGAUUAAAUUGGUGAAGAGGUUCUGCUUGACGAAUUCUGCUGCUCGAGCUCCACCAUGACCUGCAGAAAACAAACCACGUAGUAUUACGAUCAGUAAUCACUGAAUAAGCAGGUGACGAUAUUUAUUUAAGUCAACACAAAACACUAAUUGCAUCAUGAAAAAGCAUCAGAUUACCAUCAAAGACACCAAACAGUCCAACGGUCUCUCCAUCGACACCAUCAAUUCUGGUGUCAUAGAAGUCCUCCAUGGAGGAUCUUUUUCCAGGAGAGCUCGCAUAACCAUAGCUAAAUUUACCAUUUGCACUGUCAUGAUAACACAAGAAGAACAACAAUAUCAGGUAAUAAUAACAGAAACGAAUUCUCUGUCAAUGGCUAUAUACAGAUAUUCGAAACUAACACUCCCAAUCCAAAAUGAAAAAUCACCCAUCUAAUAAAUAAAAACCCCCAUCGUUUGGCUUUUUUCAUAAUAAGCCAAAACGGCUUAUUAGGAAAUAAAAAUAAAUUUGUAGGUAAAACUUUUAUAUAUGCGUUCUGGGUGAUUUAAAAACCAAUGUUGUUAAAGAAACUACGUUGAAAAUAUCUCAAAAUCAAUCUUAAAAUUAAGUUUAAAAAUUUUAAAUUUGGCUUAUUCGUUGGCUGUUCGGCCCCCAACUUGCUUAAAACGGAUCAAACGAAAACGAAAUCAGAAAGAGAGAUGAAGCGAAACGGAAUACCUGAACCCGCCGCCACUGCCAGGCGAGCCAGCGGCCUCUCCGGCGAGCCCCAUCAAGCGCACCUCGCCGUCGUCCUCCUCCUCCUCCGCUCCCUGCGAGAGACAGGAGCAGCACGGGAACAGCGACAACAAGGCGAGAACCACCAACGAGCCGAGGAGGAGCACCUCACGCAUGCACGCGAACGACGGAGGAGGAAGAAGAAGAGGAUGGCGAUCGAUCCGGGGAACGCGGAGCUCGCUCGUGUCCCCCCUCCCCCCCUAUAAUGGAGGACCGGACGCGCGCGCGCGCCGGGCGUCACGUGGCGCCACGCCGUGCGCGCCACGCCCGCGCCCAUGGUUGGUUUUGGUCUUGUGGUUCUCCUCCUCCUCCUCCUGCUGCUGCUGAGCACGGACGAACACCUCGUCGUGGGAGACGAGGAAAUGGGAGGUGACCUCCACGUGGCGCGAGGGCGACCCGACCGGAGCUCGCGCGGGGCGACACGUCGUCGCCGUGGACGACGGUUUGGCGCCUUCUUUCGCGGUACACGUCAUGGUGGCGAGAUGCAUCGAACAAACUCCGUACUAUUCAACUGUUUGAUGCUUUCCACCGUCCAGAUGUUGCAAAUUAAGUGCUUCAUAUGCUCUUUAUUUUUUAGAAAUUUAAUAAUUUAGCAAUUGUUUUUGUUAAUUUACUUGAACGGAUACUAAUGAAGAUGAUACUACGUAAGAUCAUCUAAAUGCAUAAAAGUGAAUUAGGAUAUCAGAUAAUCGAGACCUAAUUUAAAAGUACAAAAUAGGGUCGGAUCAAAUACUUCCAACGUGUUGAAACAUCUGGAAACGUGUUGAAAGUUCACGAAUCGAACCCAACGCGUUCGUACUCGCCACCGACUCAGAAGUCGGAAAUUAAACUACUCCUUGUAUAGAAAAAUCGAAAGGCUUUUCAGAUUCAAUCAUCAAACCAAACCUGUUCGAUCGACUUCGCCCCGGUUCGAAGUUCGCCCGCCAUGGCCGCCGUGUCGUGCCGGUGCAGCAGCGUGGUGUUCGUCGGCAACGUCUCGUACCGGGCCACCGAGGCGGAGCUCCGCGACGCGUGCGAGGAGAUCGGCCCCGUCGAGUCGCUCCGCCUCGCCGUCGACGAGGACGCCGGCAACCGGCGGAGGGGCUUCGCGUUCGUCGAGUACCUCGACGACGAGACCGCCCGCAGCGCGUGCCGCAACCUCGACCGCCGCGCCCUCCGCGGCCGCGCGCUCCGCGUCGACCUCGCCGACCUGGGCUGCGGCGGCGGCGGGGGCGAGACGGACUAGCCAGUGGGCGUCGAGGACGCCACGCACGCGGCGUCGCUCGUCAACGGCGCGCCACCCAGCGCCGCCGUCACGGCGUACCUCGCCGGGCUGAACCGGCGGCAGCUGCGCGAGACGGUGGACGCGGUGGAGGCGCAGGGGGACGCCGCCGUGGAGGAGAUGAAGCGGGCGUACGCGGGGCUCGCCACGCUGCUCGAGCAGGCAAGGAUACUGCUCGACAUGGCCGACGCCGACGCCGCCGCCGCGGCGGCGAAGCGCAAGAAGCGCGGCGCGAGGGAUCACCACCACGGCCGUGAGGCCCAGCUUGCGUCAAAGCUGAGGAAGCUGAACGAUGGCAAGCCCAGCACAUCCAUGGCGUUUGUACUGUAGCUAGUCGUUCACAACCCAAUCGCAGCCCAUGGGCCGGUUUCAGCUGGGCCGGCCCAAGCACAGAGAAUUUCACCGGCAUCCUGCACAACGAGAUGGCACGGCCGAGAUGACUACCGAUAGAGUAAAACGUGCUCGGUUAAACACGAUUCGCCAUUUCGCCCCCACGUCGGCCCGCAGAUCGUACGAGGUCUCUCCACGACACACAUUUGCAUUAGCCACUGCACACAAAACCAUAUGUGCACAGCAAAAAGAUCAACUGGAGGCAAUGGGUGGAUUUUGCCGACAUGUGGGCGUUUAUUUUCCUUGGACAAGAUCAGUGCUUUCCACGGUAGCAGAUCUAGAUCCACAGGUAUAAUGCAUUUGCAUAUGGUCACAACAAUGUCAGGUCUUUAUGAAACACGCGCCUCUGCAAGACUGCAACAUACAGCCUUCACAAACGUACAACCUGCGUUUAAUUUCGGCCUUAAGCCACAGAAUGUUAACGAUUCUAUCUACCAACUGUAACUGCAUAUAGCCACAUUCAUGACUGAUAAGAUAAUUUCAGAUAAAAGUAGUAGAUGAAAUUUGAGCUAUUUAAUCAUGUAUUAAGUUAAAAAAGUUGAAAUAUCUUAUAGUAUAUGAAAUGGAAGUAGUAUAGGAGUCCGCAUAACAUUGUGAUAGGAAUAGACAAAGGUAAAAUUGCUCAAGACUUCAAACCUACUCCCAAAAUAAGCAAACGUAAAAUAAGAUGGAAAAUAACCUAGUAUAAAGAAUCUGGAUAUGGCUAUAUCUUAUCAUAUUUUAGGUUUCUUUAUUUUGGAAAAAAAAAGUUUUGGGCUCAUUUGAAUUGCAGGAACGAAAAAAAAUAAAGCAAUAGAAAAAACAUAUGGUUCUGACAGAAAUGCAAGUGUAAAACUAUAAUUAUAAAAUACAAAAAAAAACAUAUGAAUAACUAUUAAAAUUACAUAAAUUUGAGAAGAGAUAAAGACUUAAAGGAAACUUCCCAUAAGAUUCUACCUCUUAAAUUUCCUCCAAAACUUACAUGAAAUGAGACAUUUUAUAGAAUUUCUUAGAAUUUAAUGUUUUGAUUCGGAGGGCUAUAUAAGAAAAAAGUCUUAUAGGAAUAAAUUCUCUAAAAUUUCUAUGAUUUUCCUUUAAAUCAAAGGGGUCUAAAUGUCCCAUUCUAUUUUAACAUGGGAUGGAGGGACUAAGGGUCCCUUUGAAUCGCAUGAAUGGAAAAACGGAGGAAUAGAAAAAACGUAGGAUUUUGACAGGAAUGCAAGUGUAAAACAGAGGAUUGAAAAAUACAGGAAAAACACAGAAAUAACCGUUUGAUUGGACCACAAGAAAAACGCAGGAAUCGGAUGAGAGAGAUAGACUCAAAGGAAUUUUUCCAAGAGGUUGGACCUCUUGUUAACUUUCCUCCAAAAUCUCUAUAGGAUUAGUCAUUCUAUAGGAACUUUUAAGGAUAGUAUUGGAUCCAAUCCUUUAUUUCAAAGGCUUUCAUAGGAAUUUUUUUAAUAGGAUUAAAAUCCUUCAAAUUUCCUACACUUUCCUACCAAUCAAAGGGGCCCUAAAGUUCAAAAGUCUAUGAAUCGCAUAUGAACUGACACCGAAAUGCACUACUCGCAAAGAAGUGCAUUUGUGUGUCAUCUUUUCAGUACUGUACAGUGUACACAUUGCAUGUCUAGUGACCAGUGACACGGGUGUGACAGGGAAGGGGGGCCUGAUUGUCUGGAUCUUGGUGUCCUCUCUCUGACACUCCGAUAUUCAUCUUCAAUUAAAUUUAGGUCUCUCACCAAAAUUUUAGUCUCUGAGAGGACUAAAGUUUAGUCCCUCCCACCCAAACAUCACCUUAAAUCGUGUAACUAAAGAUUAAGGGACUAUUUAGUUUACGAACAAAAACUUUUGGCGUGUCAUAUUGGAUAUACGAACACACAUUUAAAGUAUUAAACAUGGAUUAAUAACAAAACAAAUUGCAGAUUCCGUCUUAAAAUUGCGAGACGAAUUUAUUAAGCCUAAUUAAUCCGUCAUUAGUAAAUAUUUACUGUAGUACCACAUUGUCAAAUCAUGGCGUAAUUAGGCUUAAAAGAUUCGUCUCGCAAUUUACACGCAAUUUGUGUAAUUGGUUUUUUUUAAUCUAUAUUUAAUAUCCUAUAUAUAUGUCCAAAUAUUUAACGUGACGGAGUGAAAAACUUUUUGUUUCGAAACUAAGGCUGUGUUUAGUUGGAUCCAAAGUUUGGAUUUUGAUUGAAAUUGGAGAUGAUGUGACUGAAAAGUUUUGUGUGUAUGACAGAUUGAUGUGAUGGAAAAGGACGGAAGUUUGGAUCUAAACACAGUCUAAACAGGCUCUAAAGAACGUGACGUGCAGACGAGAGGAACACACUCCCAUGCCGGAUCUCUGCCACUGUCCUCUGCAAUCUAGGAGGAGUAACUUUUGAUGACAAGACGACGUGCCUGCAAAGGUGUCACGUCCUGAGCUCUUUGCAGAGUCAGGAUAUGCCUUCCUUGCCUCAUCAGGUUUCCGUGCUCAAACUUCCAAAGCUGCCCACUUUGAAGUUUGAAAAAGAAGCAAGAAACAGAGAAAAGAACAGCAUGCAAAGAAUGGCCGUGUGCCUUUUUUUCCUGCAUUGUGGACGGAAGAACAGGUCGCAAUUUUCUGCCUCGUUUGUUCAGUACCAAGAACACAGAUAUAUGUGCAGUUAUUCAGUUGAUUCUGACGGUAGGUGGGAAUAGAAAUUGUACUACCUGAAACCUGAUCGUUCGUCUUAUUUUAUUUUUUUUAAAAAAAUAUAAAGAAUAAGUCACGCAUCAUAUUUUAUAAUCUAAUAACAAUAAAAAUACUAAUUAUAAAAAAAAAUUAAAUAAGACGGAUGAUCAAAGUUAGGUAGAGAACUUAUGGCUGCACUUAUUUUGGGACAGAGGGGAGUAGUACGAUUUGGUUUUGCAGAACUUUUUGUAGUAGUACUAAAACACAGAAGUCAGAAACAGGCAACAUUCUGUUUCUGUUGAACGGGUUUCGCUUGAUUGGACAUGAUGGCAGAAAAGAUGAUGGAGCACUCAAGAGAGAAGCUGCAUUCUGCUGCAAUUGAAGAGAAGAAUGGCAUCAUAAUUACGAAUAAUAUACUAUUCUCAUCGAUCAGGUUUCAGUUCUGAUCACAGCUUAAUCAGUGACUUGCACAUUAUGAUCAAGGGAGUAUUCGCCGCUUCCCCAUUUUAUGUGCCCCGGCCUUUCUCCUCCGGCUAGUUCGAUCUCAAUCCCCUCUUUCUCCAUCCAAAGAUCUCUCUUCCUUCGCAUCUAUUUUCCUGAAAAGAAUGAAUUCAAAAUGUUACUAUUUGUUUCCUGCACCAUUCAAACAUUCAAUAUUACAGAACAAGGUUCAAGUUCUCAAAAAAAAAAAAAAAACAAGGUUCAAGUUCUGAACUUCUGAUGCAUUAUAACAGUUCCACAUGGCGCAAAGGUAAAUGACAAGCAUCCAAGCAUGUAAUUGAAACAAUGAAUAAAGUUACUAAAUAAUGAGUUAUGAUCCAUAAUCUCAGUUACAUUGUUCAGAGUGAAUUUAUCCAUUCAACGGACGAAGACUAAUGGGCAGCAGUACUCUAUACGACGAUACAAAGACCUAACAAUUUCUCAAGACAGGACUGAUUGUGUAUAUAGAGGUUCUGACCAUUCUUAUACUACCAGAGAGAAGUAUUUAGGUUGUGCUUGCAAAAAAGGACUCUGAAGAUGACCACACAACUGAAUGUACUAUAAGAAUCUCCUAGAAAAAAGAAUGUACUACAAGGCAUACAUGUUCCGUUGUCUAAAUGAAUAUAUCUUCAGCCAACAAUGGAAAAGUGAUUACGAUAGCUCACUAAGAAAUAAAAGAAAUGGAUCACAGCAAGGGUUGCAAUUAAACCACAGGAUGAAGGUACAUUGUUUGAUAGGUCACCAUUAUGAUGGCCUCAAUGUCACUUGAACAACUUCUACAAGCAUGAGUGCAUCAAGCUAGAAAGAAAGUAUGAUCAGCAAAACACCUAAAUGGCAUACUGAUCAUAUGUGUAGUAAACACUUAUGUAAAGCACACAUGUCAGUGUUCCCCCCAAAGCAACUAAACAACUAACCAUGCAAGUAAAGGAACAAUGAAGGCAAUCUUGCCGAACAAAGGAUUUAAACACACCACCAACCGCUCAGUCCAUGACAAUGAAAACAAUAUGCUUUCCCUAAGCUACAGAUCAUGGCCAAUGUGGACCACAAUUGGGUACACCUGCGACAACUAGUACGCGAUAAACAGGUAAAGUUAGCAGAAGUUACAGUGCUAGGCAGUUGUAAGCAUAUUGCAAGUGCACACCUCCUGAAUUACUACACCCUUUUCAGUACCAAAACUGGCCAUUGUGUGGAGAUUAUCUAACUUUUACUGUUCACACCAUUGUCCUUUCCAUUCUCCCGGCCUAGCAAAGACAUUCCACCCCCACAUUCAGUUAUGAAAUUAACAGUAGAGCAUGUUCUGCUAUGUUCUACACUUCCUAUUCUAAAUGACAUGAGACACAGGGUGAAUUGCAACUAGGUGCUGUUCUGUACUCCCCCGUCCCAAUACGUAAGGGAUUUACCCGGCAAAAAAAUAUAUAAGGGAUUUUGAGUGGAUUUGACACAUCCUAGUAUUAUGAAUAUGAACAGAGAGCACGUCCAAAUUUGUAGUACUAGGAUAUGUCACGUCCAUCCAAAAUCUCUUAUAUUUUGGGACGAAGGGAGUACGAGGCAUUAGCAGUUGCACGGAAGUGGCAAGCAAGGGCCAACCACUGCAGAUCCUGAACUCCUAGAAGAAAGAUGGGGCCGUACGCGUGCCAAAUUAACAACCAAAGCACACACAUAUACCAAGAUGCAUGAGAUUAAUGUGGACAUUGAUUAGUACUGUCAUCAGAUAUCGCAAUCUUGGACCUCGAUAGAAAAAAGGGUCAAGAAAAACGCCUCUUGUUUUUGUCAUAGGACGUACUACUAAUUAACCAACAGCAUCAGAUCCCUAGAGCAGACUUACACAGAAGCAAUGACAAAACAGCAAUGGUCCCUGUCAUCCCAACAUCAGAUUAAUUGCUUUUCGGACUAACACACAUCAGAUCAGUUUAUUUAUUAUCAAAUAAUUAAACAAGAUUAGGAAAUCUCAACACUUUGACAAGAAAAAUAUCCCCACCGCAAACAGCACAUCAACACAUUACUCUCAAGGAGACGAGACGAAAAUGCGUUGAGACUUGAAACAGUACAGAACAUCACUGUCAUUUUCCCUUGUAAGACUCAAUGUCACUAAAAAACAAUCGACUCCACCCGAAUAAAUCACUUGCUAGAAUUUUGUAACCCGGAUAAUCAAGAACUAGUUGCUCAAAGGUAGCAUGUGCUACGGUGCAUCUUUUAUUACGCUACUGUAAGUUUAUACCAACAGGUUCAUGCUUUUUAAUCAAUAACAGUGAUUAAACAGUGGCAUUGCGAAUCCGAAUUGCGAAACAGUAUUAGCACUGGUAUGAAAAAGAAUGGCUGAGGGAGAAGAAUUGAGCCCUAACCUCCUCCUCCGCUCCCGCGUUCCUGGCAGCUCAUCGACCUCCCGACCUUGCCGGCGGCGCGUUCUUGGUGGCGGCUAUCGUUGGCCACCUUCGCCGAGUGAACCCUGAAUCCGGCGCCAGCCCUGCCGGCGUCGGGGACCACAUCGUCGGGCGCCGUCUCGACAUACUUGGCGGCGCCCAUCUCCAUCUGCGCGAUGCGCACGGCGCCGAAGAGCCUCUCGGGGAGCUCCUCCUCGGACUGGGACUCGACGAGGAACCCCAUGUCGAUGGUGACGGAGGUGACCGCGCCGAGCGCGAGGUGGAGGAUGGCGCUGGCGAUGGCGGAGCUGCCGAUGUCGACGUCGAUCUCGAGGUAGCCGUCCCCGCCGUGGUAGCGGCAGGUGAGCGCGCGGCCGAGGAGGCAGGCGGCGUAGUUGCCGACGGUGGCGCGCACCAGCCACGGGCCCUUCACGAUCCGGUUCACGAUCUUGAACCGCGCGUUCCGGUACGCGUCGUCGCCGUGGACGAACCGCCCCAGCAGCGACUCCGCCGGGAUCGCCGCCUCCGCCGCGAAGUAGAACACCGCGCUGUACGCGUCCGGCCGCCCCGGCACCUGCACACGAACCGAACCAAGAGAUUGAUUGUCACAAACAAUUCGAUCGGCGUCGACGCGCAGAUGCGAUCGAUCGGGGGGGGGGGGGGGGGGGAACGGACCUGGAGAUUGACGGCGAGGAGGAAGUGGGCGGAGGGGUCCUUGCGGAGGCGGGCGCGGCGGAAGGCGGCGGCGACGGGGAUGUCGUCGCGGGCGAGGACGUGGUCGAGGCGGGAGUGGCUCCUUAACCAGUCGACGCCGGCGGGGCGGAGGAGCCACUCGGCGGCGGAGGGCGCCUUCCCGCGCCUCCCACCCCCACCACCGCCACCGCCGCCGCCGCCGCCGCCGGAAAAGUACCCCCUCGCGCGCAGGUGGAACAAAUCCCCCGGCGGCGAGGCCCACCCAUUGGCGCCCCUCUCCAGGUCCACCUGCCUCAGCGAUGCGCCCGACACCGCCUCCUCCCUCCACCCCUGCUGCUGCUGCUCCUCCGCCUGCUCCCUCCUGGGGCUCAUCGCCGCCGGCGAGGGGAGAGACAAUAAAAGAAAAAACAAAAAAGAAAAAAAAAGGAAGGGAUUUUUGGUUGGGGGAGGAGAGGAGGUGGGUUCGGUGUUUUUGCGCGAAUGGAGGGAGGAGUUGGGGGUCGCUGCUUCUUCUUCCAGCUCUACCUAUAAAACAGUGGGAAAGAAAAGGAAAAAGGAAUUUUUGAUGCGUGAUUCGUAGAGGAACCAAAAUAAAGGUCUCGCCUUUGCUUUGAAGCACCUCUCCCCCUCCCUAAUUUGCACUUCUCUUGUUGAUUAUCUUGAUGUUUCUAUUUUUUUUUCUCGAAACACGGGACAAACGCGGAUGCUAGAAUACAUACGUGUACAGUCAUCUACAGAUUGAUGGAUCAUCGUGAGGUUUUUUCUUCCUUCCGAAACAUGAGACAAGCAUGGAUCGCGAAUGCUAAGAGGGUGUUUGGGUGAAAGUUUAGUCCCUCUCACCCAGACACCCCCUAAUAUAUAUACGUGUACACUCAUUUGUAGAUUGAUCGAUCAUCGUGAGGUUUUUUCUUCCUUCCCAAACAUGAGACAAGCAUGGAUGCUAGUAUACAUACGUGUACACUCGUAUCUAGAUUUAUCAUCGCAAUGUUUUAUUUUCGAAUGCGGUUACUCGAAUAUUUAUGUAGUUAUGUACAUACUCAUCUCCAUAAAUAUAAUAUGAGCAAAAAGAAAAAAAAACUCUUGUCUUUGCAUUUAAGCAUCUCUCGUCCUCCCUAAUUUGCCCUUCUUUCGUUGAAUAUCAUGACUUUUUUUCGAAACACAAGAUAAAAGCGGAUGCUAAUAUAUAUACUUGUACACUUUUCUAUAGAUUGCUGACUAUGAUUUUUUUUCUCAAAACACGGGACAAACGUGGAUGCUAGUAUACAUAUGUGUACAGUACACUCAUGUAGAUUUAUCACCACGAUGUUUCUUUUUCUUCUCAGAACAUGCGGACGCGGAUGCUCAUAUAUAUACGUGUACACAUCUCUAUAAACAUAACAUACGCAAAGGAAAAAGCCCUUACCUUUGCGUUUAAGCAUCUCUCGUCCUUCCUAAAUUGCACUUAUCAUGAUGUUUUUUUCGAAACACGGGACAAACACAGAUGUCCAAUGUGAUAUUUUUUUCCCUAAACACACGACAAACGUGGACGCUAGUAUACCAAUGUGUAACCCACCCUCCCCUCCCCCACUCCCAGUAUACACAUGUGUACACAUCUCUAUAAAACGUAACACGCGUAAAAAAAAGCUCUCACCUCUACGUUUAAGCAUUUCUCCUCCUCUCUAAUUUGCGCUUCCGUGUUGAUUACCAUGAUGGUUUUUUUUCAAAACAUGGGAUAGACAAGGAUGCUGGUAUAUAUACGCGUACACUUAUCUUCAUAAACUUAACAAGUAGAUUCUAUUCAUUUGAUCACCUCCAAAAAAAAAAUGGACUAUUGACGAAGUACCUUGGUGUGUUAGCAUUGUUUUUCUUCAACUAGUAAUUACCAAUUAUAAUGCGUGAUACACGUUGCACUAUCCAUGAAAUUUAUCAUAAUUUUUAGAUAAUCCGUAUGUAACAAUUUAUGAUGAUCACAAACACGGUUAACGUUUUCGACUAACAAAGACCAAAAAACCCCAUGAAAUAUAGAGGUUUCGAUGCAGUACAAAAGCAGAUUCUAUGAAAUUCGGAAUGGUUUUCAAUAAUUCAAAUUUAAGACAGUAAAAUCAGCCAAAAUUUGAUUAAAAUUUAGUGAAAUUUAACAAAAAAAAACUGUCAUGUCGCUAUGGUCGAUCGGAAUCCGGCACUCAAUCAGAAGGGUAAACCAUAAUCCGUGAGCGUAUAAGAAAACCGGCGAGGAGUCGUAGGAAGAAACAACAGACGAGUAAGCGAUAGAUAGUUGGAUCUCGAAUUUGCGUUGCUGCCUUCGUGGGAACGAACGGUCGCCACGCCUUCGCCUGCGUACGUGCUUGUCCUGUCCGGCGACGGCGACGGCGGCGGCGGUGGCGAGGAUCCACGUACGCUGACAUGUGGGGACACACGGCGGCGCCGUACGCCGGCGCGUGGACUCGCGACACGUGUACAUGCGACGGAACAGUUGAGGGGUUGGAUCUGAAUCAUCUGAUCUGAUCACGAGAUGCGAUCGUGCGAUGCGCCACCGACAAGAUUCGGGGGGGUCGUAGUGCCUCUUAUCGCAUCGACCGUCCAGUCUCCAUCCGACGGUCCGAAAGUAGGACACGUCGAACAAUGCAUAUACAUACUGUACAUGAUUACGCCUACGUGUGUCAGCAACAGUAUUUUUCUUUAUAAUUACACAAUGCAACUUAGACACUCCCAACGUAUGGGCACUCACCCCUAUGAACACACGCACACAAACCCUACCCAGAGCAUCUUCGAAGACUGCCUACCACUGAAAGCACAAUGCCGAUAAAUCCGCGAAGAUUGCCUACCACUGAAAGCACAACGCCGAUAAAUCCUGAAAAAUUCGCUCCCAUAUAGAGUCGAACCUAAGAUCUAAGGUGCUACUGAGUUUCUUGUAACCAUUAGGCUAUAGGCCCUUUCGCGUGUCAGCAACAGUAUUAUGGCUGAAGGAGCCGCAAGCACUCACCAAUUGUACAUGCAUGGCCGUUUGCUUGGCAAAUACAGAAUCACAUGAUACAUCAAUUUUUCAACUUGCACGAGAUAAAAAGUGACUGCUUAAUUGGGCAUGCAAAUUUUCAACGCAACUAUGCACAUCAUUUGUACUGUUGUACAAUACUUGCGCAAUGGACUGACAACUGAUGGAAGUAUAUAUAAUCGAAACUGGAAGUACUCCUUCCUCCAUUUCAGAAUGUAAGACUUUCUAGCAUUAUCUAUAUUCAUGUAGAUGUUAAUGAAUCUAAACACAUGUAUAUGCUUAGAUUCAUUAAUAUUCAUAUGAAUAUAAGCAAUGCUAGAAAGUCUUACUUUAAGAAACGGAUGGAGUACUUAAGAGUGCUUAGCAAUCUUUACCUUUUCAUUCCUGUUUUAUUAAAAACCGACCAAAAAGGUAAAACCCGAUAACUUUCGAUAAACGUCAUAUAAAAACCGACUAAUAUCGAUCGGUUUUCAUAUAUUGAGAUCUAAUCGGUUUAGUGAACCCUCAUACUAUGUAUAGCUACUAAUAAUAAGGUAGCAGUUGGCAGUUGUGAGUCGUCUCUGCUACUUCUUCAGUUAGCGUCAAGAUGUGAGGCCAGAUCAAGAUGGCAGUUUAAAGCAUCCACAGCUAGCUAAGCUCCAUGGUCGACGGAGUAAGGCUACAGUACACAAACAUGUGGAUAUCGGUUUAUAAUAAUCUUGCGACGAAAUUAGUAGUAUAUCGAGACUCGUGUCUGUUGAAUCUAUCCAUUAUCAAACACCAGUGGCCGGCGUGUUGUGUCCAUGUGCAACAACAGUAUAAAUUAUACCUCCUGGCACUGACAAUCUCCUCUUAAACUUUCCCAUUCUUUGACAAAAUAUUGAAAUGAGAGCUGACCGAUUUAUGAAGAAGAAGCAGGGCCUGUUUGGCAGCUCAAGCUCCAGCUUCAUCCUUUCUGGAGCUGAAGCUCAGCCAAACAGUUUUAGCUCCACCAAAACUGAGAGUAGAGCUGGGUGAAGUUCUCUCACAAAAUAAACUAGAGUUGUGGAGUUGGGUUUAGGCAGCUCUAUAACUCCACUCCAGACCCAACUCCUAGAGCUAAUUUAGAAGUUGGAGCUGUACCAAACAGGCCCGCAAUCUACUCCUAUCUCUGUUCUUGCCUUGAUCCAUCCUCUUUAACCAACUUUGUGAAUACUGAACAAUUCAGUCUGAAAGUUACAAUACCCUUGAAUACUACUCCCUCCAUCCCAAAAAAGACAAACCAUGGGUUUCCGUGUCCAACUUUUGACCGUCCGUUUUAUUUGAAAAAAUUAUGAAAAAAAUUAAAAAGACAAGUCACGCAUAAAGUAUUAAUCAUGUUUUAUCAUCUAACAACAAUGAAAAUACUAAUUUAAAAAAAAGUUCAUAUAAGACGAACAGUCAAAUGUUGGACACGGAAACCCAGGAUUUGUCUUCUUUUUUUUGGAUGGAGGGAGUACUUUGAACGAAAUGCAUGCCUCUGAAUAUUAUUAUUAAAGUAAAUUUCAGAAAAUCCUAUAUUUUAUGGUCAUAAUGCAUGAAGUAUUAAGCAUAAAUUUGAUCAUAAAACAUGGAGUAGUAUUAAGCAUAACUUAGAAAUGCCUAGCUAACAAGUUGCAGUUGGUUAGGCUGCCAAAUGAUUGGCCAAUCGAGCCAAUGCAACUGCAAGCAGCGGCCAGAAUUAUGCGAUCGAUCGGCGAGCACAUGCACACCCACUUGCAGUGCAGCUAGCAAAACAUUGGACAGCGCAUUUAUGCAUGCACACCGGCCGGCGCGGUUGGAUUCAAACUCAAACAUGGCAAAAACAUCUUUGAAUAAUCCACGGAGAAACAAAUGUUCAGUCAGUCUUUGCAUUGGAAUGCUAGCCAUCGGCAGCCAGUUGCCUCUUUCUUUCUAUCAGCUACAACUACUCUUUUUUAUCUUAAAAUAUAAUAAUUUACAACAUUCUAAUAAUAAAAUACUAUAACUUCUUCUCCUCGUAAUCGGGAUUGCCUACACAUUUGUCGGGUGAUUUUUAACAAGAAAUCACCCAUAUUUUUUUUACACUUAGAUUUAUAUCCAACGGACUACAAAAUAAAAUAACUAAUACAAAUUUACUUAUUCAAUAUUUUUAUCAAAAUUAUAGUGCACUUACAUAUCAUAUCAACUAAAUUUACAUAUGUAAUUUUAGUUAUAUAGGACUGUAAUUUUAUAUUUUAAAUACUUACAUGUCAUAUCUACUGAAUUUACAAAUGUAAUUUUAGUUAUAUAGGACUGUAAUUUUAUAUUUUAAAGAAAAUAACAAAUACAUAUUUACUUACACUUUAUUUUUAUAAAAAUUACAGUGCACUUACAUGUCAUAUCAACUGAAUUUACAAAUGUAAUUUUAGUUAUAUAGGACUGUAAUUCUAUAUUUUAAAGAAAAUAACAAAUACAUAUUUACUUACACUUUAUUUUUAUCAAAAUUACAGUGCACUUGCAUAUCAUAUCAACUGAAUUUACAAAUGUAAUUUUAGUUAUAUAUGUCUGUAAUUUUAGUUACAUAUAAGUUACAGUGUAAUUACACUAUAAUUAUAUUGUAAUUACAUCUGUCAAAUUUCUAAAAAAAAAUUAUCGGCAAAUAUAAAAAAAUUGAAUAGAACAGGUUUCUAGAGAUGGUAGAUUUGUUGGGCAUGGCCGCAUGGUGGUGUAAUCUAGAAGGUCGUCCCGUCCGGCGAUCGUCUCCACUCCUCAUGCCCAAAGGGACGAGCACAGUGCGAACAAGAUCAUCCCGACCGGCUGACCACGCAUGCAGCCUCCACCAUCGUGCGGUCAGCAAAUCCGUGAAAUCACCGGGAAAAAAUCACACGACAGAUUUCUAGCGAAAUCGAAAGUGAAAUGUACAAUACCCCAUGAGAAUCAUGCAUGUUCUAAAAUAUAACUUCUCCUCCCGCUAGUAAUAUUUAACUAUUCAAACUCUUCACAUACUUUCUCAUCUCAACCAAUCAUAACAUUAUCAUAAAAUUUUACCAUUUCUUAAAAACAUUAUCAUAACAAUUUACCAUAUUUUUAGAAAACUAAAAGGGAAAUAAUACCCCAUGAGAAUUGGGGGUUCAAAAUUACAGAACAAAAUCAGUUCUAUCGCCCCCCCCCCCUCCUGAUACAAUAUUAUUUCGUCUGAGAUUUUUUUAAUUUGGUAAUAUUUGUUCAAAUUUGUUUGAAUUUUGUUUAAAAAAAAUCAAAUAACUGUGGACCAAAAUAAUCAAAAUUUCAGCCAUAUUGUUACCCCUGAUACAAAUGGCUAAAAUAAUUAAAUAAAGAUCGAACCUUGAAAAUCAUGCUAGGGUCAGCAUUCGAAUCCAGGUGGGCUCGACGAACACCCUCGCACCACGCUAGAGCUAUGCUCAGUUGUCAACAAUUUACUAUUUAAUUUUACUUAUUUUCUUAAUACUCUUAUCUAAUUUUAAAAUCUCUUUGGACGGAAGAGAUUAGCUAGCUUUCUUCUUUCUCCUGCUGCUGCUGAUGCAUAUACUGUCAUAUACUGUAUGAGCUUGUUUUAUUCGCUAAUGCGUUUGCUUAAGCCAAUCGUUAGACAGAGAGACAGCAGCCAAGUGGACAGAAAAACAGCAGCAGCAGCACACGCAUGCGUGAUCACCUGGCUGUAUUCUCUCCUCUCUCCUCUGCGCUGGUCGCAGUUGUUGCCAGCAGGGAGUUCAGAUGAUUGUUUUGAUCUGAAUAAUUCAGAUUUCAGGCUGGUCUUAAACAUUUUGGAGAUGGGAAGUUUACAGGAAAUCUUUGCUGCUGCUCUCUUCUGGAUGAUUUGUCCACUUGUCAGAAGUGAAGCAACAUCUAGCUUGAAGCAUAAGCGCAGGAAAACAAAUCUGAAAGACCUAAUUAGCUGUAAUUGUAAGGCAUAAUAACUUCGAAAAGGUAAAUCGUAAAGAGACAGUAAGCAAUGGCUUAACAGAUACCCAUUCUAUGGAUGUCAUCUUCAGUUUAUUCCCAAGGAACAAAGUAUGUGCAUCUCAUAUUCUUAUGCCAUUAUGUGCUCAUCUUUACUUUCUUUUUCAAGUAUAUGGCCCCAUCUUUCCGUUCAAGAAAAAUCUGAAAAUGUUUAUGGCCUCGUCUGCUGAAACAGGAGUUGAACAAGAGUGGCCGAAAACCGAGGCAGUGAGGAAGCACAUGGGCUUGUACGAAUGUACAACCAGACUAUGUUUCAUUUAGGCCUGAUUGCUAAGCCCAUUUAUUUAAAUUGGAUUAUUUCUGGGCCUUCUGGUGGAGCACAUGGGCUUGUACAAUUGUCCAACACAAGUUUAGACUAGAUUAGUAGGAUGCCUUUAUUCAUCCUUCUUUUUUUUUUCUGUAACUGUCGCUCGAAUAAAGUCAUUUAUCAACUUUGCUGGAAGAGUGGAAGAUUAGCAGUAAUCAGUGUAGUGGAGUAAGUUCUUUCUGUGUUGUCUCGUGAUCUGAUAUAACAUGCUGACCACUUGUAAACAUUGUAAGUUUGUUACACACUGGCACAACUCAGGAUCGAUCAUUACAAGGCAGUACUUUUUUUUAAAAUAAUAAUAAUAAUAAUCUUUGAGCAACACAAGCCACUGAAAUCAGGACAACCAAGUGUUGAGACUAUAGGUAAACUUCUGGUUCUAUUGUCAAGCCAACCUCAUUAAUUAGCUGCCUAACUUUUCAUCUUUCCUAAUCUUGGUCAUAGUCAAACAUGCACGGAAAUUUUUUUUUUCUUAUCUUAAUCGUAAUAGUCAAGCAUGCACGGACAGCCUCGUAAAGAAGAUUACACAAGUGCAGGUAUAAAUUUAACUUGAAGGAUCAUGUUGAUCCAUUCAGGCAGUAGCAGCAGCUAACCAACCAAACAAUGCUGAUUCACUGAAGAGUCAAGGAGAUGGGCAAUUUUUCCUCUGUUAGGAGCAACUGAUCAGGACGAGCUAAACUGAUAUCUCAUCACAAGCUACAUGCAUCAAAAUCCACUUCCUUAUCAAUCGCCACAAUUUCAUGCAUAAUCUUGUAACUACUUCAGGGCUCUUCAAUUCUUUCAGAGAUCAGUACCAAUUGAUUACCAAAUGAUAGUAUGAGCCGCAAAAGUGGUUGGGAAAACACUGCACUUUUGCGUCUCUGCAUUGCCUGAAGUUUAGCAAAGCUGUUGAGGCAUGCGUAUGCAUUGAUCAACAGAAAGAUCACAAUGCUGGCUAGUGUUAUGAUUUUCACAAGUCAAACAGAAGAAGUUUUGUGUUCAGCUACUCUGAAUUUGAGUUUUGUUUUUUCUGCAUCUACUGUUGUUAAGAUCUCUGAAACUCACGAAUGGUCGAGAUUUUCAGGGCCGAUUUGUCUCAUUAGCCGACGAAAUAAAGUACUACUCCCAAAUGCUUUGAUGAUCCCAAAUGCUGUCCGAUUCAAUUGAAAAGCCUGAUGAAGUAGUGGGGGGAGUUUCCAUGUUCUUUUCUGUCAUACCAGUGACCUGCUACCGAAGUACAUGCUUGUGACAUUUCUUGGACUAUCUGUACACCGAUAUACUAUCCCCAGUCUGUUUGAUCAUUCUGCAUUACACAGAUAUCCCAUCAUGUGAAAAAGAACUAUCUUAAUUUACACCGCUAGUGAUUUCUCUUGGGUGUAAUCAUAUAUUCAUAUUUGAGAGUAAGAAUGUCUGAAUUCAGAAUUUGAAAUGUCGAAAAGAUGAAAUUUUGAGGGAGAAAUGGGUUGAAAUAUAGGUGUGUGAGGGCUCUCCCUUUUGAGUUGAUCAGAGGUGUUUCAGUGUUUGUCACUACCGGUAUCUUAUUUUAAAUCGCUAAUCGUUUCUCUUGGGGACAACAUAUUUAUCACUGCAUUCGAGAGUAAGAACGCUUGAAUUCAGAAUUCGAAACCUCCAAAAGAUGAGAUUUUGAGGGAGAAAUGGCUCUAAAAUGUGAGCAUCUGAGGCUUUCACUUUCUCUUGAGUUGAUCAGAGGUGUUUGUCAGUACCGGUGGUUUGGAUGGCAAAACACGGCCAGGACCAGGGCUACGUCCAUAUCGCAUCAUCAACUGAUGCGACAUGAUUCUAGUUAGUCGGUAGGCGUGUCCAUCACCAACAUGUAUGUCCUUGUCCCUGCAGCCUCCAUCCCCUGCCUCUUCAUCGUGACAAACUCUGCAAUCUACUCUCUGCAGGAAAGAUAGAUAGCUUACCUGCAACCUGUGACAAAAGAAAACUGACAAUACGAUUCAGUCUAGAAAAAGACAGGGUUCUGCAUUGUGUUGUGGUAAUCAAAUUCUGUUCAUGUUGGACUAGUAAUGUCAUCUGAUUCGGCUAUCAUGUUUCAUGUUAGUUAGUAGAUGAUACUACUUAAGUCUUAACAUACAUAAUUAAUAUGCCUUGUUAGUUAAUUAUGUUAUCUUCUUCAGCACAUGUGACUGAAAAUCUAUGCUGCAUCUUCAUCCCAUUGUUUGUGAACUGGGAGACUGGAAAUUAUUAGUACUAGUGGAGCACUGGUGUUGCUAACAUCUGUUUCAUUCUGUGGGUCCUGGGGCCCAUUCAUUGCCAUCCCCUGAAAAUUCCAAGAACAAAUGGGGCCCACCUGGUGAUACUCUUGUGGGCCCAAGCGGCGCGGCUGUGUUAAGCUGAAAUGUGCUCAACGGUCCAAUUGCAAUCAGAGGGUUUAUCAGGUCAGCUCGUUUAAAAUAACACAGCAAAGAAUCUAAAAGCUGCAUUUCUCAUGCCAAAGUGCUGCUUCAGUCCACUGUGCUAUGAUAACAAUCUCCCUAUUCCGACAUAAAUAAUUCUGUUUUUGCUUGCAAGCUUGUAACAGGGAGUCAGGGACCCACAUUUUUGGGGUCCCAGAGAUUCUUUUUUCUGAGAAUUGAGAGUGUCAGCACUCAAUUAUGCAGUAGAUUACUACUGAGAAAGAGCUAGUGGUACCUGGUAAUGGAAGUGUUUGCUUCGUGCUUAGUGCUACUAAGUAAGACAGCUGUUGCAUCUAGCUUGUAACUGUUUAAUUACUGUGCAGGGCAGUGCAAAGCAUGUGGAUAUGGGUGAUGGGGAUCUUUGUGCCCCCAGUAUUGAGGUAGCCCAUGUGUGGUCUGCAGCUUAAUUAAUCAUUCAUUCAUGCAUCUAUCUUCUUUGUUAACAAAGGUAGUACUGGCUCCUUUACCCUGAAAUGCCUUCUGUUCUCCUUCUUAAUCAUGAUAGCAAGGUUUGCAUUUUUUUUUAGACAUUACAGGCACAAUUGGAAUUGGUACUUGCCUGGCAGUAAAAGAAGAAGUACAAUUGUAAUUUGAUCAAUUUUGUCAAAACUGUCCUUCCCUAACAAAGAAUUCCUUGUGAAGUAGUAGCAUGUAUAUGAUUCCUUAUUCUUUCCUCAUGCGUCAUGUCUGCUCAGCAAAUUAAUGAUUUCUUUUCAUAAAAAAGGAGCCUUAGUGAUUCUUCUUUUUUGAUUUGAAAGCAUACGAUGAUUCCAAUUUAAAAAAGCACACCAUAAAAUAGCCUUUUAGAGCUGAUCAUUCUCAUAGUUCCCCUUUGGUGCUUCUUCUUUUGAAGAUAAAGAUAGGCCUAGCAGGUGCAUCCACAAGGGAAAAAGGCAAACCAACUGUUUCCGUUGUCAAUUCUGAAUUACUAAUAUAAGAGUCUCUGGAUGCUGCAUAAUGCAGGCAACUUUUGAGAAUUAUCAAUAGACCAAGAAAGAGUACUACGCAAUUGCCUUGUCAUUUCAUUCCACUGAAUGCCAAGUGCAGAUCAAGCCAGAAGCACUAGGCAGUGUCAUUUUUGCUGAGGUGUAGCUAUCCAGGAUCAUAUCGGUAGAGAAGACCAAGAAAAAAGAUAGCCAUGUAUCUGUCUUCCAGACACUUCAAAAGGUGGAGUAGAAGAUAAACCUGCAUGAAAAUUCAGUGGUAGAAAAUUUACAAAAAAAUAUAUUUUUAUACGGUACAUAUACACCCUUGAAUUUCUGGUAUAAGUUCUGCAUACACAUGAUCAAACCAUGUACUGACAGCAACUGCACCAUUUCUUUGAGUCAUGUACUAUUGCAAUCUUGUAAGCAAUCUAGUAUAGUACUAAAUAUGUUUAGUCAACAACCAUAAUGUAUUUAGAACGACCUAGGAAAUUAAGCUGCAUAUGCAACGUACACUGUGCUAGAAGUCAAAUUCAGGUAGCCCAAGAAAAAACUUUACAUGCAAGCUACUCCAAUGACCAAUGGUCGCAGCGUGUGACUUCAUUGCACGCAUCAUCGUCUCUGUGGAGUUAACCAAAUCUCACGCCCCGACCUGCGAUUUGAGCCCAGAAAACUAAGUACAAACUGAAGAAGAAGAAGAAGAAGAAGAAGAUGAAGAAGAAGAAGAAGUGUUUGUGUCAUUGUGUGUUGCUGGUGAUCACCAACCAGGCCAUAAAUAACCGUAGUUAGAUCCAACCAACUUCCAGUGAUGCACUUGACCACACCACCAUGGCAACAGCAGCACUGACACCUUAAAUGCAAAUACAGUUAUCAAAAAAUAAAUUGUACUACUAGUAGUAGUAUACACUCUACUCUACUGUAUAAAUACUCCACUAGUAGCAGAGUGUGGAUUCAGUUCUUCCCUGUCCGGUUAGGUGCAGCACAUCUACGUUGCUUGCACGCCAGUUCUUCAUCCCUGUCUCCAGUGCACCCAUGGAUACAUGCGUGCAUAAUUUGUACAGUACUAGUACAGUAGUAGUACUGCUAGUUAUUAGUUUAUCACAUUCAAAAUCUUCAGUUUUGAUAUAACAGCAUCCUAGUACUGGUUUCAGGCUAGGGUACAACAGUACAGGUAAGUACCAGCAGUUGGCCAUAAAAUUUGUGAGAGUGAAACAGCGUUUUACUAUCAGGGAUGAUAACAAUAAUUGUGGUGAAACUCACGCGGCUAAACAGGAACUCAACCUUAGGAUCCCCUGACAAAACACAGCCACAGGCCACAGCAGCAUCAAACACAUGUGCCCUUAUUGUUUCGCCUAUGCGUUUAAAUUUUAAAACUUAAUUUAGAAAUUGAUUUUAUAGUUUUUUAUCAUAAUUUAUUUACAAUAUUUAAUUUUAAAUCGUUAAGAACACGAUAAAAUUUUGCUCAUCAAUUAGCUUUUUUACUAAUAAACGGUAAAAGAAAACAUUAGCAAAACAAUAAGACUCCAAUCACGUGCAACCGAGAUCAGGAUACUUUAUAGUGAUGAAUGAUAAACUCACGUAUCAGUAACAAAGUCUUCGUUCUUUUCAUGCCCAGGGAAGAAUAUUUCAUAGUUCACGCAAAACAAAAGGACUUGUUAGCACAUAAUGAAUUAAAUAUUUAAUUAUUGUAAACUUGAAAGAUGG
Molecule: long non-coding RNA, 52553 nt
Filed under: Oryza sativa (Asian cultivated rice)
Lineage: Eukaryota; Viridiplantae; Streptophyta; Magnoliopsida; Poales; Poaceae
Description: long non-coding RNA (OSAT_LNC001242)
Rfam family: MIR812 microRNA precursor family (bases 44535-44741)
Source: RNAcentral